GUUGUCAAUGUUAUCACUACUUCACUGUAAUGGCCCAGUAAAACCUUUCCUCAUAUCAUACCAGUCCCACUGAUCCAAACAUGAUGUACAACCGGUUUUGGUUGUAACAUAUUGCAUGGUUUUAUUAAAAAAGUAAAAUUAAAUAAAAUCAAAAUGACUUCAUUUACCAAAAUGUUAUAUCUAAUUUCAUUGAUAUAUAAUUUAGUUAAUAAACCACACUCUAUAACUAUAUCAGUACCAGAACUAAUGUAAUGAUGAGUAUGGUAUUAUUAGCAGUGAGGUAUGAAUAAUCAUCCCUAGGAUUCAUUAUUAGCAAAUUUACAUUGUAUAAAAAUUUGCUGAAUAUUGCAAGUGCACUAGUGUUGCAAAGCAAUUGGAUUUCCAUAUUAAGUUUGUUGCAUACACCCAUGUACAAUCUUAAGUACUGCAUUGUGAUAGAUCUUGUACUAUAUUCCGCCUCCAAUAAAUAAAUAUCACCACUGUACAGAACAAAGGGUCAAAUUUGUUCUCUUCUUUUUUUUUAGGGCUUCAGCAGCUUGAAAACCCAAACUUCACAAGACCAUGCUUUCUGUUUGUGGGUUGAUUUUGGAGAGGAAGGAAGAGAAAGAAAAGGUUUGAGAGUCAUCUUAAAAAUGUAUUUCAUGGCUCCUAAGCCUUCUUUCUCUUCCCUCUCUUACCCUCGAAAAACCAACUCACAAAUAGACCCUAAGAAAACAAACAAUAAAAACAUCAUCGAGGAGGGGAAAGAAUGUGGCAAUUUGAUAUGUAUUGGAAAACUAAAAGCAGAUUAUGAGCAUGGUCUGCAAAAUAAUCAGCAUUCGUGUUGCCUCUGUAUGCAACAAUUCUAAAAAGGUAGAGUAUUUGUUGACCCAGGUUAGUUUCCACCAAUUUUAACACCGAUCACAUGUGUAUAUCCAUAUUAGCUGCAUCCAGAAUAGGGUCCGGCUUGAUCGAGUAAUUGUAAGCCCUUCGAACAAGUUUCAUUAGGCACUUUUGGUUUCACUUACAGCAUAUGCCAACAACAAGGGAAUUGAAAAACCAUAACCCAGAAAAUGGAGCACUGGGUUCAUAUCAUAGGCUUUUGUAACAGUUCUGCAAUUCUGCAAUGGAAUGGUGUAGAAAAUAAUCAAAUGAACCAAACAAAACAAGAGCGGAAAGAAGCAUGGAGAGCCAAAAAAACUGUAUUGGUAUAAUUUUUCAGAAUGAUAAUGGUACCAAGAAAUAUAUUUAGGAUAUCAUGUCAAGGAAUGAAUAACCAUUCAAAGAACUUAAUUCAUACCAUCCAUUACUAUCUUUUAGUCUCCUAUAUUAAUGUUAAUGUAUUAUUAAAAAUUCUAACAACAAACUCUUCACAACACUGUUUUAAACCUUCUUUCACACUAUCACCAAUAGUAAAGAGUUUGUUGGAGAGAGUGUUGAUAACAUUUUACGUAUACUUUUGCAUGGACUGAACUGUAAAGUAUUGGUUUUAAGCCUUACCAUGAAAUGCUUCCAACAUACUGCCAAGCAUACCAUAUGCUUCCGAAUCCAUCGUUUCCUAAAGGGGAAAUUGGAUUUUAUAUUGCUCUGGUUGCCAUUUGAUAAAGAUCUUCUAGAGUUCAAAUCAAUAUCAUCUUUUUUCUUCCCUGAAAAUGCUAACAUAUGUUCCCUGUAAAUGCCUCUUUCAGCAGUCAGAGCACCAGUCGCAAAAAAUGCCGGCAAAACCACAAACAAUAAAUGAGGUAGAACAACCACCAUGAUAUCUGGAGAUCCAACACAUUCAUGCUUCCCCUUUCCAUGAGAAGUCUGUACAGCCCAUCCUAUAUAGGUCAUGUAUCCCUUAUUUUCCCCUUCAGUAGAAACAUGACCAAUAAACCAGGGGGACAGUAUAAGAUAGAAUAGGUAUCCUAUCCAACUAAACCAUAACGUGCGAACCCUGCAGAGCUCCUGGAGAACCCAUAAUACACCAUUUGCGAAGCUUUUAUUAGCAAUGACGUUCUUGUAAGUGUAUAACUUAUUUGAAAAAACAAGGAGAGCCUUUAGGAAGAAGAAGAAAGAAGAACAUACAACCCAGAGCAGACCAGAAUAAUGGGUAAUAUAAAGCAGACCAUUGACAUCCCAUGACCAAAAACUCCUUCCAGCUCCAAGAAAGCUUGAACCUAUGACCAUUUAUUGAAAAUGGAUCGGUCAAAGUUGAUCUGCCCAUGAUGUCAAUUGCUUCAACUUGAAGCCAAAAUCUAUCAGGAGAAGCAUCUUCGAAGGCUUUGUAAUUCCAUGGAGCAACAUAGAGUUCUCCUCUGGAUGUCUCAUUGGCAUGCUUGAUCAUAGGUGCUUCCACAACUAAAUCAAAGUUUCCAUAUCUUGAAUCAUAUACUCUAGCCACAACUGACACAACUGGAGAAACAGAAAACACCAGAGCUCGAAUGGUCUCCUAAGACGGAGGCACGGAUUGACAUUCAUAUUUAUGAUUAGAUAAAGAUGUUGACAUGAAGCGAGAGUCCAAAGGAAAAGUCGGGAAUAUAAUUGCCGUUUUUUGCUCCCUGAUUGGAAAUCAAUAUCAACAUAGGAAACAUGGCCACUAUCAAUGGCUAAAAUUCGAAGUUGUCUAUUCUUUCUCCAAUCACCCAUCUCCCACUCCCAAAACUCUUGAAUUGGCAAGGUUUUCGCGGAACAAUUUACAUUACUUUGAAAAGAACUCUGGUGCAUGUUAAACUGAAACAACUUGUGCAAGGAUAAAGAAUGAUUGGUCGACUGAUGGAAUCUCUUUAAGUUCUUACCAAAUUUAGUAUGGAGAUGCCCACACAGGUAAGCUGAUAUGGAAUGCUUUAGAAAAACAUCUUCUAAGGUCCUACCAGAACCAGAGGGUGCAGAAAAUGAGAGUGGAAAAUGCCCAAAGGAGAUUUUCGUAACUGGUUUUGCUGACUGAGAAUCCCAGCGUGAGAGUUCUAAGUCUAGAUCCAUUAGUAAUUGAUCUGUGGGGUGCCCAAAGACAUUAGUUGGACCUCGUAAGCCAAUUGACAUUGUGCUGUCAAACUCAACAAAUAGAUGUUUCCGUUCCUGAGUCUGUGAUAGGUAUGCAAGUAUGAGCAAAAGAGUAUAGCAAAAGAGUAUGGAAAACAUUUGCAGUAUCAAACAAUAAAAUAUAUCAGCAUUCAAGCCCACGGUUUUGAGCUCUCAUUUCUCAACUUUAAACACGUACAUAAUUCAAGAAAGAAGAAACUUUAAACACGUACAUAAUUCAUUUCCCAGCAGUAUUAUUCAGGAAAGAAGAAACUUUUAACUGAUCACGAGAAUGAUUCAAUAACUAAUCCACAAAAUGACAGGCUAAAUUAACAUUUUGGGAAUUCCAAACAAUAGAUUGAAUGAUUCUUCUGCCAAAAAUUAGGAACUUGCCAUUGAACAAAAGAUUAUAGUCAAUCUUUUGCAUUCAUUGCAAAACAUUUACCUCUAUGUCCUUUUAAUGGUUUUCUAGCUUUUCUUUGUCUCCCUCUACCUCUAACUAGUGAGUUAUCCUCCAUGACCUAGUUUUCUGACUUCUCACAACCCAAACAACCUUAGACAUGAUUCUAUUGUUUUUUCUUCAAUAUAUGUUCCCCUAUUUCUCUGAAUGCCCUCAUUCCUAAUUUUAUCUUGUAAUCUAUAUCCACUCUGACAAUGUAGCAUCCUUAUAUUUGCUAAAUAGAGAUUAUACUGUCGUUGGCUCUUUAUCACCCAACAUUCAGUACCACAAAGCAUCAGGAACCUUAUAGUUGUGUACUAAAGUUUUCUCUUAACAUAUACUGGAGUAACAAUGGAUAAAAGCUAUCAAGUGUGUCGCUGUAGAAUAUAUUAUCGAGCUUCUACAAAAUCAUUUAUAUAUCUUGUGUUGAAUUGACUUUUGCUAUUAUAAAUGUUUAACAAUACUUAAAUCUGUUCUUAGGAGUAUAUUUCAAAAAAAUAAGUUAAUUGCACAUAAUUUCCACUACACCAUUGUUCACUAGUUAAUGGUGUACAAAGAUAUUCUAAACAACAUGUAUUGUUUUGUUAAUGAACUAUUAAUAAUCAAUUACCAUACAAAACGCAUUGAUGAUUAAAAUUUUCUACAUCAUUAACUGGUGUUGAAAUGCAUGCAUACAUAAGAACUGAUAUUUCAUAGAAUGAUAGUUAGAGUAAAUGGUGUACCUCAACGGUGAUGCUAUUAACACUCUCACUUCUGCCUAACUGCCCAUUGAUGCUGUAUUUAGAAAAGAAAUCCAAUGAACCGCCAACAACCGGAACACCGAAAUUAUCAUAAUUGCCUUUAAGGUCGAAGAAUAAGCUCUUGUCAAGUCCACUCCUCUCGAUAACACUAUCCAUUACAUCCCGAUAUUCCACCCAUUCAUCCUCAUUCUGCUUCAUUGUUAGUAAAUCUUUGCUUUUCCCAUCUGGAGGAGAGAAUAAAAGAUCAUAAAAGACUGUCCAUCAUAUCACUUUUAAACACUUGUGUUCUUUGUUAGAUUACUUAUAUCUUAUGAGUUCGCAAUUAUGAUAAAACACAAAAAAUGGUUGACAACCCAAGUAGCGUGGAUAUGAGUAGCACUGUAGCAGUAUAGAGUAGGAGAUAUGGUAAAAUUUCUAAUGAGGUGAACUACAUUAUAAGCUAAAAUUUGUAAAAUUUCCAACAGAGAUUCCCUGUUUCCCAUGAUAUUGUAUAAGCAAAAGUAACAAAACAAGUUUUUAUAACAUUCCAAUAAGCACAUGGCAAAAUUUAACAAACUAUUAACCGAACCAAACCAAACUGUCUAACGAUGAAAAACAGCAUGAACCGAACCGAAUCAUCCUUUUGUUCAGUUCAGAACUACCCACGGUUUUAAGAGCAGGGCCCACGUAUUUAUGGAAGUCAUGGGCACGAUCUGGAUGAUGGACACUAAAAUGAAUAUUUGAACCACCCAAACCACUGAACUAGGGUUACCAUUUGUGUGUAUCACUCUCUCAUUUUCUUUUCCUCUUGCACCAUAACUUAUGAGAAUCAGUACCAACAUAACAAGCAUCAUUCUUCUUCUUCCUCCUCCCUGGACUAUUGUUAACUUUUUUUAUCUGGGAGUGUUCACUUUCAUGCGCUGAAAAUAAACAACCUGUAUCAAUUUCGCAUGAAUAGAAAUUAUAUAUACCAACAUAACUCUAUUCCGAAUUAAUCAUAUACUAUUAUGAUUUAUGAGUAAUAUUAAUAACUUAAAAAUUAAUUUAAAUUUAUAUGAUAUACUUAUUAAAAUUUUAUUAGUGGUAAUGGGUUAGGUUAGGCAUAGAAAAAUAAGAUAGAAGAUUUCACUUCAUUUUGAUAUAGGCUGUACCCAUAAAAAUUUGGUAUAGGCAUGUACCCAAUAAACUUUGAUAUAGGCAUGGUCACACAACCAAUCAAAAUUAUUCCACGUCAUUAAAAUAAGGAUUUUGUUAUUUUUUAAUUGUUUUUUUUUAUAAUUAUUAGUUUAUCUAUGGGUAAGCCUGUGAUUAGUUGUAGGCAUGCAUAUUAUUUUUAUUUGAAGUGGACUAUACUUCACUUAUACUCACAAACCCUGAAAAUAAAUUUGUUAGGGGAUAAUAUCAGUGGUUAAAAUAAGAGGCUUUUAUUUGAGAGUAUGAUUUUGGAGAGGAAUGGAGUGAAAGAGAUGACUUUGUAAGUCUCUCUCUUGUGUGGGAGUUUGAUGAAUGAGAUAAGAAGGUUUUGGAGGGUUUCUCAUACCCUCAUAUGUGUGUAUUUUUAUAGUUUCCUCAAUUUGGAUUUUUUUAGAGAUAAAAUGUACAUAAAUAUUUUUAGUAAUAUUAUAUAAUUAUAUAUUAUUGUUCAUUUCUCAUUGUUAAUUAUAUUUUUAAAGAAAAAAUAAAAAUACUCUUACAAUAUCAUUAUAUUACUCUCUCACAUCUAAAUUUCAUACUCUCAAACAAAGAGAAUUGUCCUCCUUUCUCAUUUCAUCUAUCCCUUUCCUAGACAUUUUGAUUUCUCUCUUUCUCUUUCCAUUAUAAUUGUCAAAAGGUGUCAAUAUUUUGCAUUCUUGCAAAAAAUAACUAGAAAUAACACAUUCCCAACUUUAAAAAUUAGCAUAAAAAAAGAUCAAAACAUAAGUAUAUUAUUUUCUAUGAAUUUUUUUCUAUAACUUGCCACAAACUUGUAAUAUUGUAUAAUUACCUUCUUGGGUUGGUUGAAACAAACUCUAUUAAUAAGGUCAUAAAUUCAAACUUUCUUCAACACUUCACCUAUUAAUUAAUUUGAUUCAUGAAACGAAUGUGUUAAAUUUUAGUUAAAUUUAAACUUAUUAAAUACAUGAGUUAAACUCGACUCAUAUAAAUCUAAAGUCUUUAGGUUAAUAAAUUGAUUCAAUUAUACAUUUGUAAUGUUUUAUAACUACAUAUACUGGUAUGCUUGGGAAUUAUGAAGGAAAUUGAAUAAGAGAAAUCAAAAUGCUAGGAAUGGGAGAAUAGAAGGGAAAAGGAAGAUAAUUAUCUCCUUUGUUUGGGAGUAUAAAAUUUAGAUGAGGAUGAUAGAAUAAUUAUAAUGUUAGAAUAUUUUUUUAUUUUUCCUUUAAAAUGUAAUUAACAAUGAGAAAUGAACAAUAAUAUAUAAUUAUAUAACUUUACUUAAAGUUUUUAGACAUUUUGUCUCCACAAAAACCUCAAAUUGGGAGAACUAUAAAAAUAGACAUAUAGAGGGUUAUUGAGAGCUUGAAAAACUCUUCAAAACAUUCUCAUUUUCUUCAUCCAACUCUCAAACAAUGAAUGUUUUUGCAAAGUCAUUCAUUUUCUUCCCCUCCGAAACCACAUUCUUAAACAAAUCCUUUAAAAAAAUUUAAGGUUUCUACUAAUCUUACAGAAAGCACAAAAUUCAAAAUGUAGAGUUUGACAAAUUUAGUGAAGCUGUUAUGCUAGUUUGACAACAAGACAAUUUGAGCACAUUAAACAUCCUCAUUCCUUAUGUCAAUAAGUUAUGUUAAUUUGAGAACAAGUCAAGACUUAAAGUACAAGAGGCAAAUCUAUAUACAAAGUGUAUUGAUGAAGACAAUCUAUAUAAGACAUGUUACAAUGACAACCUCUGAUCAUACAAGAUUAGAGAUUCCAAGGACAAGAAGUUUUAGAUUUAUGUAAUUUACUUAUUAUCAUUAAUUUUAUUAAUAAAGUCCUAAGAUAGGUUUAAGAUACUUGGGAUAGAGUAAUACUAUAAGUGAAUCUCACAUCUUUACCAUACAAAAUCAAGUUCUUUAAAUAUUAAAUGUUUUUACAUUGAGAUACAUUGGAUUUUCAUUUUGAAAGUAUUGAGUUAUUCCCUCUCAAUAGUAACUACGUAUCAUAUUAAGAAAGUUAGGGAAAUAAUUAUUUUAAAAAGUUGACUACUUCACACAACACUGACCUCGAUUUUUAGGAAUAGAACAAAACAAUUCUACCAAUUCUGAUUGAUAUAGGGAGAGACUCAUACUUGAUAAAUAUGAAGAAGAUCUAACUCUUUAAUAUUAGUUAAGUUUUGAUGAAGAUACCAACAUAACAAAAAGAAUAAAAAAGAUUGAAGAAAUGAAAGCAAACACAUCAAGUGGAUAAGAUAUUAUUGUUUUCUAAGUUAAGUACUUCCAAAAGCUUGAAUUUCACAAUUUCUAAUUUCAUAUUCAAAGUUGUUGAAGUUUUUCAGAAAUAUUUUUUCUACACUUUCAUUGCUUCUGAAAAACAUAAGAUCAUUAUGUUAUAUUUAUUGUAUUUGUCUUACAAAGGAUUCAAAUCCUAAGUGUGAGAACAUUUAUCAAUCCUAAAGCCCUAGACAGAAAUUCUUCAAUUGUUCAUACUUAUAAAUCACCAUAGGUAUGAUGAGGAAAAAAGUGUAAACUAAGAAGUGGUGUGCUUCUUGUUAAAGGAUUUGUGAGUGAGAAUCUUGGUGUAACAUUUGUAAAGAUUAAACUCAUACAUAGUGAAAAUCUCUUGUGAUUUGCAAGAGAACUAGAUAUAGCCUUUGAUAGAUUGAAGGUGAACCAAUAUACAUAUGGUGUUACUUGUCUUUUCCAUACUCUUUUAAUUUCUAUUGUUUCGAUUUUUGGUUACUUAAGUCUUCCAUUUGAUAAUCUAAUUGUUAUUUUAAAAAGAGCCAAAAAUCUUCUCCGUAGAAAACUAGUUCAUCCCCUCUUAGUUUGUCAUCUAUACUUACAAUUGGCACUAGAGCGAGGCUGAGUAAGUUAUUCCCUUGAUCCUAACAUUCUAGAUGACCUCUAUGUAUUUCUUUGGAGAAGGUUCCAAUAUCAAUCGCCUUCCAAGUUUUGUUGGAGACUGUUAUAACUUCUGGAAAAUUAGAAUGAGAAUCUUCAUAGAGUCUCAAAAACUUAGACAUAUAAAAUGCAAUAGAGGAAGAUCCAUACAUUCCUAGUGUUGUUAUUAAUGGAGUCAAAGAACCAAAAUCAAAGGGUGUAUGCAAUGAUGGGGAUAAGAAGAAAGUUCAAUCUGAUCUUAAAGCUAAAAACAUCUUGACCUCUGUAUUAGGUAUAUAUGAAUUCUUUAUAAUAUCAAAUUGCAAAUCAACAAAAGAAACGCAUGAUGGAACUUGCAGGUGAAGAGGACCAAGCAAGAUUGAACUUAUGAAGAGGACCAAGCAAGAUUCAGAAAGAUCAUCCAAGAACAAAAACUUUAGUUUUAAUCAACAAGAAUGCAUACAAAGUAUUUGAUGCUUUGCUUCAGAAAAAGUUGAUCCAGAGAAUAUAGUAGGUGAUGAGAGCCAAAGACAAUGGAAUGAUCAAGAGGCUUCCUCCAUAUUAAGGAAGGAAAAAUUGAGUGAUGAAAAUUUUAGUGAUUCUAGGUAUGAUAAUCAGAGACAUGAUGCUGCAUAGGAGGAAAUAGAUAGUGAAGGGGUCUACACAUUUGAAUCCGAGGAGGUUGUGGAUCCUUGAAUUUGCAAACCAUUUAAUCCAUUACUUAGAGGAACAUAUAAGGAUAACUUUCCAGAUAAAGGCCUUCAUUUUAUCUUAGAGAAGGUCAAUUAUCACCAUAUGAAAGUUGCAUGUCAUUGUGAGGGUAGAGGUUGGAAAUUUUGGGGGAUAGCAACUUAAAAAGCAAAUGUUGGGGCCGAUCAAUUCAGCUUGACCCUGUCCAUUCAACUAACUCGGUAAAUGAGUCUUACAUUCUGGUGCAACUUGUUGUUGGAAUCAAUCUUAACCUUUAACUCAAUAGGUGGGGGAUUGGAUUUAUGAAUUGCUGAAUGCCGACCACACCUUUUAAUUACAUACUGCAUACUUUUCUUGUGAUACUAAUACAUACUGUUGGGCUUUUAUGAUUGUGACAGCUACUUUGAUAUUAGGACUUGAAGGAUUGCAGGUUUUAGAGGCAAGGUAAGAAGUCUUAUAUAUCUCUAAUUUUUGUUUGGUAAUCCUUGUGUUUCCAAUUCUGUUAUAUGGUUAAGCAAUGCUAUACUAAUACGUUCCAAUCUGAUUUGCUUAAUUUUUGUUAAUACCUUACUAUUGCAGAACCUGAACUACAAGCAAAUAAACCAAGGAAGGAUUGCUAAAUUCAAGGUCUACAUGGUUACUUAGUUUUCUGAAUGCAUGAAUUGGGGAAGCAAAGCCUAUAGAGAUGUUGCUGUUCAAGGAUUGGUGUUUCAGUUUGCUUUUAAAGUAUUCCAAGUAGUGACGUUUUAGCCAAUUAGAGAUCAAAACAAAAAAAAAACAUUGUUAGUGUACCAAUUCAAUUUUCUGUUGUAACUUAUGCGUUCAAUUACUAAACAGCAAAAGGAAUGCUUCAUUUGAAGUGAUUGAAUAGUGAGAAAGUUCACUGAUGUCUGGACCCCCCCUUUUUCGGGUGGUUUUCAUAGCUAAUGUUUGGAUUAUUUAAGAUGCCUCACAUUUUUAUCAACUUGAGACUAUGUCAUUCAUUUAAGUGGCUUGUAUAUGAUUACUGAGUUGGGACGUGAACGUUAAGGUAUAUACAUGCUUGUUUCAAAUAUUUCUUAACGUGAUGCAGGUUGCAUGCCCAUAUCUGUUAUGAUAGAUAGUUAUGUGAUUGUACAAGUUAUCACCAUUCUAAAAUAAUAGUUACUGCUAUGUUCAUAAUCAAGGCAUUCAUAGUAAAAUUCUAUUCACACGACAAACUCACAUUGGCUUAUCUCAACUUUGAUUAUUGUUAAAAGAUGCCAAAAUCUUGUUCUAAAUAAAGUGAAGUUGUACAUAAUUUUAUUUUUUAUUGAGUUUUGCACUAAUGAUAAAAAGUAAAGGUAGGACAAAAUUGAGUGUUCACAUGAAGUACAAAGUAUUUGUCACCUAUGGAGACAAUAACAAAGGAAUAAUUCUUGGAGUUGGUCAAGUUGGAAAACCACUUUCUACCAUCAUUGAAGGAGUACUUUAUGUUAUAGGCCCGAAGCUUAAUCUUCUAAAUAUUAGUCAACUUUGUGACAAAGGCUUGAACAUGGUUUCAACUCUGACAAAUUCAUCAUUGAAGAUAAGGUAACCAGUGAUGCUAAACUUAUAGGAAAUAGAAUUGACAAUAUUUAUAUAAAAAUAUGAUUUCCUUAAAUGACAUUUCCUUUAAAAAUAAAUGUAUAGUAGUUAACAACGAUGAUGCAAGACUAUGGCAUAGGAGAAUUGCUCAUAUUCAUAUGGAUCAUUUGAAUAAAUUGAUUAAAAAUGAACUACUUGGUUUGCCCAAGAUAAAGUUUGUUAAAGAUAAACUAUGUGAUGCAUGCCAAAAAGGGUAAACAAUUAAAAAUAUAUUUUAAACCUAAGCAUAUAUUUUCUACUAAUAGGCCAUUACAAUUGUUACAUAUGGACUUAUUUGGUCCUUCAAGGACUAAGAGUUUUGGAGGUAACUAAUAUGUUCUUGUAAUAGUAGAUGAUUUUUCAAGAUUCAUGGGGAUAUUAUUUUUGGUGCACGAAAAAUGAAGAGUUUUGGAGGUAACUAUUUUGUUUAUGGAUCUAAAUGCUUUUAGAAACAUGUGCAUGAAAAUACAAGAACCACAACUAAACUUGGCUUUAGACUUUAUUGUUUAUGGGAUGAGUUCCAUAGGAAGAGGUUUUGCUACUAUGUGUAGAUUCCAUAAAGAGGAAAUUAUGAGCAAAAAGCAAAAAGUAGUGGAUAUGUUAAGAAUAGAUAAAUUUUGUUUGUAGGAAAUUUUAACCUGAAUGAUAGCUUGUUGCAUAACUUUUUGAGUUAUAUUGUAAUUCUUAAAUUUUCAAAUCAUUCUCAAAUUAAUGGUUUGAAAUUACUAACUUGUGAUAUGAGUACUCACGUUAAAAGUUUUAUACUCUGUCAAUUCAUUAUCCACCAUUCAUUUUUUAUCAUUAUUAACUCUUCAAAAAAUUAAUACAAAUAAAUAUAAGAUAAUAUACCAAUAGUGCAUAAAUAUUACACUUUUUCAAACUUAUUCUUGGCGUGUUUCUAUCCCAUGUACAAAUACUUUUGUAAAAAAAUAUUAGAAUACUUUAUUUUAAUUUUAGACUGAAUUUCACUAAUAGUUAGGAAGAGUAAAAUUUCUUUAUUAAUACCGGAUUGGCCGACUGGGAUUCUUGAUCCAGCUUUUAUUGCCCGGCAUUAUUUAUUGUAAUAACAAAACUACCCUCACCACGCAUAACAUCCUGUUUUGAAUUUUUGCGGUGCCGUCACUGCCAUUGCAGAACUUCGUCAAGCUUCAGAAAAGGUUAGUCUCAAUAACCCUUAACAUGAACCUUGAAAUUUCAUAUAAACCCUAACAUAGUUCUAAUGUUAUCAUGUAUUCAAACUACAAUGAUUUCUAGAUGUAUAAAAUUUGACAACGUUUUCCAAUUUUCACUUCCAGCUUCAAGCUUUAAACAACUAAACCCUAAACAUCCAUCCCAUAAACAUCUCAAUUUUAACGAUAGAUCCCAUAAAACAGCGCAUUCCAUUGAAAAAUUGAACUUCCGUCACCAUCUUCAUCGUUUUCGCUUAUUUAUUAAAUCUCUGUUCAUGUACUAUGGUAGGAUUGGUAGCAUUAUAUGAUAGCAUUGUAUAUAUAGUGUUUAAAUUGGGUUAUGCCGUUUGUGUUUACUCUCGAAACUGCAAUAGUGCAGUUGUGAAUUGUAAGUUAAUAUACUGAUUCUUCCCAUUUAAAAGAUCCAUUUUGGCUAUGUUAGAAUGUUAUAACUCUAUAUAGGUUGGAAUUAUUUCAGUUCGCUUCUAAUGAUUGUACUUGUUAAGUGGGGUUGGGGAAGGGACUCUUGAGGUCUGGGUAGGCAUGAAGUGUAAUUUAUGUGGUUUUGGUCGUAUUUAGAUUUUGAUAGAUGUCUGUGUUUGUUGUUUGAUUGCACCAGGAUCCAGGGGUGCAUCACAUAUCUCUGUGUACGGGUUCACACUUCAGUCACGCGUCCACCAUCUAGCCAAGUUUCUGCUCCUCAAUCAAGGUAAGAGCACUAGCCACCAUCUAAGGUAGUUUGUGGUUUUCAGCAACCACUUAUGGUUUUUCCCAUGUAAAAGACCAAAGUUUCCGAAUCAAUUUCAUGUUUUAUUGAUCCUAUUGUAAUUGGUACUCUGGUAGUCACAGGUUCUUCUAUUUAGUCAGCAAUGCUUUAGUUGUUUGAGCUCCAUAUGGUCAUAUACAUUAGGAAACUAUUUGAUUGGGGUUAAUGUUCAUUUUCUAUGAGAUUGUCAUCUUCAUGGUUUUUCAUUGUUAUAAUAACAUAUUGGCAGCCUUGUUUUUUAUGGCUAUUUUACUGGUCAUUCUGCUUAUGGUUUUGCAGUGGAUCUCAUGGCAAUUAAAUUGGUAUCUUUAGAAAUUGUAACAACUCUUAGUUUAGAAUCUCACAAUAUCACUUCACAUGCAUAAUUUCCUUCCCAAUUAUUGCUGUUCUGAUAAUGAGUGUCAACUUAAAUAAACGAAAAUAAAAACCUUAAUCAAAGAUUUGAUUACUAGAAGCGACACUUGUUGGGAGAGUCACCCAUACACUCUGAAAGGGACUAGUUCCUUACCCAUAGGGUGAGGGGAUACCUUUGAUAGUACCAAAAAAAUCAAGAAAUAAUAUAUUGUCAACACUAAACAUGUGGGCUCCUCAAACCUGUUAAGUUGUAUUGUACCAAAAAAAUAAUAAAAAACCAAUAAUUCGUAGUUUUGUUAAACAUUUUAGUAUUUUACAAGGAAUCGAGAUUAUCUUUGAACCCUAGAACUAGAAUAAGAGACUUCACCCCAGCCCUAACUAAUCAGAGGACGAAACCACCCAUCUUGCACUUUGCAUCAUAUAUCAGACGCAGACAGUAGCUUUAUCCUUAUUGGCGUCGCCUCUGCAUUCCAUGUGUUGGUGUUCAGUUCAUAUUGAUUGGAAACUUGUUUCAUUUGGUGAGUUGAAGCCUUAUUUAUCAAAAACUGUGAUUUUCACACUGCACAUCUCCUUUUCCUCCUUGUGCCAACUAAAAAACUUGAAAUGACAUUAGAUUUCAAACAAGUAUGGGAAAGUAUAGUAUAGUAUAGAAUUGUGAAUUCUGUUGUCUUAAAUGGGGUUCAUUAGAUUCAGUAUGUUUAAAUAGAAAAGAAAUAAGUAAUGCUAAGGUAAUGAUGUGCAGGAAUAGGAUAGAAAAGAAUAUGAGUUUGCUUUAUGGCUGGUAUUUUAUAAGUAGAUUAGAACAAGUUAUAAGAUAUAAACAUGUCAUAUUUUGGUUCUAUUAGAGGAGGUGGAACCAAAGAGAACAGAAUAUAACAUCUCAUUCCACCAUAUUGUUCUGUGCACCAAAUGCUAGCCAAGUGUGAGCUUUCAUACUAAUGAAUCAUUAGCCUGACCCACCUUGGCACUAUGUUGAUGAUAGGUCUGAGUAUUAAAACAUUGCGACAAGGGUCUGAUAAGUACAACUCUGUUUAUGUAUUAUGUUUUUUCUUUGGCUUUAAAACCUUGACUUGCAUUGUUCCCUUCAUUUAUCAGGGUACGAAGAUCCUAAAAUGAGUGUUGCAGAAAAACCAAAGAAAGUCAGUAGUUCUCAAAUUGUUAAGUUGGACAAGGCAUUGAAAUUGGUAAACUUUUAUCUUUUUUGCAUAUGUUUCUGUAGAUGGAGAAUAGGGUUUAGGAAUUUUGUGUUUGUCCAGUGAAUGGUGAAUUACUUUAUGUCGGAUUGAUGUAUUUGCUAGGUUUGCUGUGAGUGCUGAUGAACAAUAUAAUUUGAUAAGGUGCAUAUUUUCACAACAAAAGAUUUGUUUACAGACUGAAACUUACUCUAGAAAUUGACUUCCUUCAUUCUGAAAGAUUUACACUAUUUGAUUUAUAUUCGUUUGCAAGAAAGUGUUGAUUCAUGUAAAAUAAAGAACUAUUCUAGAAGGCAUCAUUUUUUAUAAAACAAAGCAGCUUUAAAAUCUGUUUGAACUUGGAAUAAAAUGCUAAACUUGCUCCCAACUAUCUCUCAGUGUAUGCUGUUUCAUUCUAUAAUAGGAAUUGUUUCGUUUCCGUAUACUCUAUCUUUCAUUACCGUCUUUCAGUAUUUUAUCAUCCAAUGUUCAGGUUAUUCCCAGAUAGUUUUAUGCAUUGAAUAGUGUUAUUCAACUUGGAUACUACACCGAACUUGUAAACAAAGAAAACGCAAUUGCCAAGGCAUUGCCGCUACACACUAAAUAUCCACAUAGGCUCAUAAGUCAUGACACUAAAUGAUCUUGAUUCUUGAGAGAUUUUCUCAAAUAAAAAUUUAAAUUUUUCAUCUGUUAUGUUGGACCUCAGCUAGAAGCAAAAUAUAGUUUAUUUGGAUCUAGAAUUUAAGUUGGUGUCUUUCUUCCCACCUCAUCCCCCCAGAAGGAAACAAGUAAAAAUCUUCUUACAUCUGAUCCUUUCACAAGCUGAGGGAUGAGGAGAGAACUGUCUUUAAGUUCCCUUAACUUGUGGUUAUUGGUCCUUUUUUGGAAUAAACAAAGAUCGAUUUUUCAAAUUACCGUCAAAUUUUCAGUGCUGCUGGUAGUUACCUGUUAACCAUUCUGUUGGUAGGCUGAGAUAUGGGUAAAUAAUAUGAGCCAAGAUGCAGAUGAUGGAACAACAUAUGCUGAUAUAGAGGGUCGACCUUCUAGGUCAGUACAACUAAUCACAUUAAACCGUUGACUAUUUUAACUUCUACAUGUUUAUAUAAUGUACUUGUUUGCUUGCUAUGAUAACUAUUUUUACAACAUGUUUUACCAUGACAAAUGUUUCUAGGCUUGGGCUAGGUGCAAAAAUUUCACGCCAAUCCAAAGUUGGGCCUUCAGAUGACCCAGUUGACAGGAAAUUGUAUGCCAAAUUGGGUGCUGAAAAAAGAAAAAGGGCCAAGAUUGCUGAAGAGUCCACCACAGUUGCAAGAGAUGAUUUAGAUGACAGUGAGGACGAUGAACAGGAAGAAAGUAGGACUAGUGCAUUUUCCAAGAAGAAGGCGGUUCCUUUGAGAUUGCCUAUAUUGGGAAAUAAGAAACAGAAGUAGCAUUAUGAAUGUGAGUUGUUUCUGAAUUUUGAUUAUAACACUGUUAGUUUUAGUAUAUUAUGCAUUUGCCUUGCUGGAAUGGUGGCUUCAAUCAAAUGUAAUAUAUUUUCUUAAAAUUGUUAACAUGCCUUUAAUGGAAUGUAGUUGUUUACUUGAGGACUAUGGCCAAAAGUAACUAAUUUAUAUUCUGCCCUUGCUAUAUCUAGCUUACAUUAAUUACUUAAUGUGGGUUAACCCGACUAUCUACAUUAUGGAUAUCUUUCCAACUUCCCUCUCCAGGUCUUAAGGGCCCAUAUUUUAACAUGAAAAUAAAGUAACAAUGUUCAUAGGGAAAUAGUAUGCAGUUUGGCAUAUAUGUUCUUAUUUGCAAGUUGUAACUGAUACUGAUGUCAAUGGAAAAAUGGGUGCCUCUUGUUGGGGGACAUGCAUUGCUGGUUUCUUGUAUGCCUCAAAUUGUCUGGUUUACAGUGUGCUAUUUAAAUUGGUGGCAUGUUGAUAAGAACAGGAUUCUUUUGGUAGAGCUCAUACUGUAUAUUUAUUCCAUUACACAAAACAAACAUGCUCUUAAGUCUAUGUGUAAUGGAACCAAUAUACAAUAGGAGCUCAUGGUUGCUUAUUUGUGGAAUUGUGGUAGUGGAUGAAUAAGGCUAUUUUUUUUUAAGACUUCAGCAAACCAUUUCAAGUUUUCAAUCAGCUAAGUUAGUUCUGGAUCAUGCUACUAAUAUUUUUAAUGCAUGGAAGCCUCUAAAUUUGUUUGAAGGGGAUAAAGCAGCUGGUGGUUGAAUAUGUUAAAUGGGAUUUUCCUUCUGGUUAGUAUAAACUAAAUACAGAUAGUGAGUGGCUUUUGAAGGUAAUUUAGGUGAUGUUGGUUGUGGCUUGUGAGGGGCUCAUUAGACUUGAUAAUGGUAAUUGAGUUCAGGGCUUUAGAUUCCAUACUGAUGUCUAUUCAGCCUUGGAUAUCUUAGUCAAAAAAUAAGGAAUGGUCUAUUUAGAGAGGGAACAUAUAUGUUGUCUCACAAAAGUGUGUCACUCCAUGUGCCACUGCUUGUGUUUGGUUGAAUAAAAUAUAUUUAUGUUAAAAACCAAUCACAAGCAAUGACACAUGAAGUGAUACACAUUCUGGGACAGAAGAUGUUUACCCAUUUAGAGAAGGGAAUAAAUGUGUGGAAUGGCAAGCUAAAUGGAGCUUGACAAAAGAGAUUGGAGAUCAUGCUGUGUUGAUUCGUUGGGGCUUCCAUAUCUGGGCAGUUUUUUCAAUUUUAUUAAGAUUUAAGACUGCUUACAUAUAUUUUCCAAAAUUUCAUUAGGUAGGUGCCUCGUGCACUCUGUCACCGCUAUUCUCUUUUUGUUGACUGUUAGCUCCUUGCAUUCAUGAAAAAAGAACAUUUUGUAUGGUUGAGUAUUUUACUGAGGGUUAGACUUUUUCUCGGGAGAUUAAUUAUAAACACAAUUUUUAGCGUGGAAUACAUGAAUUGAGAUUUGAACUUGGGUCUUCAAUUUUUGUGUGGAAAGGCAUUUAGUGUGUUUGCUUCUUGUUUUUAGCAUUGGUCAAAUGCGCGUUUCCAGAAGCUAACUAAAUGCAGCUUUCAAGUUUUCCACUGUCAACUCGAACUUAUUAGCAUUGUCAAAUGUAAAUCCAAUCACGCAGUUAGACUAUUUGUGUUGUGUUUAAUGUGCAUUCAUUUGUACAGCGGUUUUUUGCAAUUACACAUGUAAUGCUUUGGUCUAUGUACUCAUACUAUGUAUACCCUAGAGGGUAGAAACAAUAGAAAGAAGAGACAAAAGAUAUGAAGAGAAAUUAGUAAUCUUAUCAAAUAGUUCUAACUAGAUUGAUUAGCUUAUUAACUUUCUACUUUUAACUCUUCCACUAAUAAGAUUUCAUGUGUCUUGCGAGCUUCUAGUACUAAUCUGUAUUUCAUAAGGCCAUUAGGUCUGGCUAGUCAAUUUGUUUAUUUGACUAAAUAUAAGCUACUUGAAUAUGUAUGGUGUUAGAGUUUAUAUUAAGAGUGUAAGCGGUUAUAGUUUUAACCGCGAAAUGAGUGGAAACGAACCAAACCAAUCAUAAAAUGUGGCUCGGUUUGGUUUCGCGGUUCGGUUACUUUUUAAGGAACUAUUUAUAUUCGGUUCAUUUCAUGGUUUUAGAAAUUUAGGAAUGAUUGGAAUCAAACCAAACUGCAUACUAAAGAAAUAUAGAUGUUUGAGAAUAAUGUUGUGUUUUGUUUGAAUUCUUCAACUAAUUUUGUGGCUUAAAUAAUCUUGUGUGAAUUGUAAUGUUAUAUAUGUUACUAAAUUGUUAUUAUGUUAGUGUUAUUUGUGUUAUUACUUACUAAAUUGUUAUAUAUAUAUAUAUAUAUAUAUAUAUAUAUAUAUAUGAUACUCACUCUGGUAGUCACAGGUUCUUCUAUUUAGUCAGCAAUGCUUUAGUUGUUUGAGCUCCAUAUGGUCAUAUACAUUAGGAAACUAUUUGAUUGGGGUUAAUGUUCAUUUUCUAUGAGAUUGUCAUCUUCAUGGUUUUUCAUUGUUAUAAUAACAUAUUGGCAGCCUUGUUUUUUAUGGCUAUUUUACUGGUCAUUCUGCUUAUGGUUUUGCAGUGGAUCUCAUGGCAAUUAAAUUGGUAUCUUUAGAAAUUGUAACAACUCUUAGUUUAGAAUCUCACAAUAUCACUUCACAUGCAUAAUUUCCUUCCCAAUUAUUGCUGUUCUGAUAAUGAGUGUCAACUUAAAUAAACGAAAAUAAAAACCUUAAUCAAAGAUUUGAUUACUAGAAGCGACACUUGUUGGGAGAGUCACCCAUACACUCUGAAAGGGACUAGUUCCUUACCCAUAGGGUGAGGGGAUACCUUUGAUAGUACCAAAAAAAUCAAGAAAUAAUAUAUUGUCAACACUAAACAUGUGGGCUCCUCAAACCUGUUAAGUUGUAUUGUACCAAAAAAAUAAUAAAAAACCAAUAAUUCGUAGUUUUGUUAAACAUUUUAGUAUUUUACAAGGAAUCGAGAUUAUCUUUGAACCCUAGAACUAGAAUAAGAGACUUCACCCCAGCCCUAACUAAUCAGAGGACGAAACCACCCAUCUUGCACUUUGCAUCAUAUAUCAGACGCAGACAGUAGCUUUAUCCUUAUUGGCGUCGCCUCUGCAUUCCAUGUGUUGGUGUUCAGUUCAUAUUGAUUGGAAACUUGUUUCAUUUGGUGAGUUGAAGCCUUAUUUAUCAAAAACUGUGAUUUUCACACUGCACAUCUCCUUUUCCUCCUUGUGCCAACUAAAAAACUUGAAAUGACAUUAGAUUUCAAACAAGUAUGGGAAAGUAUAGUAUAGUAUAGAAUUGUGAAUUCUGUUGUCUUAAAUGGGGUUCAUUAGAUUCAGUAUGUUUAAAUAGAAAAGAAAUAAGUAAUGCUAAGGUAAUGAUGUGCAGGAAUAGGAUAGAAAAGAAUAUGAGUUUGCUUUAUGGCUGGUAUUUUAUAAGUAGAUUAGAACAAGUUAUAAGAUAUAAACAUGUCAUAUUUUGGUUCUAUUAGAGGAGGUGGAACCAAAGAGAACAGAAUAUAACAUCUCAUUCCACCAUAUUGUUCUGUGCACCAAAUGCUAGCCAAGUGUGAGCUUUCAUACUAAUGAAUCAUUAGCCUGACCCACCUUGGCACUAUGUUGAUGAUAGGUCUGAGUAUUAAAACAUUGCGACAAGGGUCUGAUAAGUACAACUCUGUUUAUGUAUUAUGUUUUUUCUUUGGCUUUAAAACCUUGACUUGCAUUGUUCCCUUCAUUUAUCAGGGUACGAAGAUCCUAAAAUGAGUGUUGCAGAAAAACCAAAGAAAGUCAGUAGUUCUCAAAUUGUUAAGUUGGACAAGGCAUUGAAAUUGGUAAACUUUUAUCUUUUUUGCAUAUGUUUCUGUAGAUGGAGAAUAGGGUUUAGGAAUUUUGUGUUUGUCCAGUGAAUGGUGAAUUACUUUAUGUCGGAUUGAUGUAUUUGCUAGGUUUGCUGUGAGUGCUGAUGAACAAUAUAAUUUGAUAAGGUGCAUAUUUUCACAACAAAAGAUUUGUUUACAGACUGAAACUUACUCUAGAAAUUGACUUCCUUCAUUCUGAAAGAUUUACACUAUUUGAUUUAUAUUCGUUUGCAAGAAAGUGUUGAUUCAUGUAAAAUAAAGAACUAUUCUAGAAGGCAUCAUUUUUUAUAAAACAAAGCAGCUUUAAAAUCUGUUUGAACUUGGAAUAAAAUGCUAAACUUGCUCCCAACUAUCUCUCAGUGUAUGCUGUUUCAUUCUAUAAUAGGAAUUGUUUCGUUUCCGUAUACUCUAUCUUUCAUUACCGUCUUUCAGUAUUUUAUCAUCCAAUGUUCAGGUUAUUCCCAGAUAGUUUUAUGCAUUGAAUAGUGUUAUUCAACUUGGAUACUACACCGAACUUGUAAACAAAGAAAACGCAAUUGCCAAGGCAUUGCCGCUACACACUAAAUAUCCACAUAGGCUCAUAAGUCAUGACACUAAAUGAUCUUGAUUCUUGAGAGAUUUUCUCAAAUAAAAAUUUAAAUUUUUCAUCUGUUAUGUUGGACCUCAGCUAGAAGCAAAAUAUAGUUUAUUUGGAUCUAGAAUUUAAGUUGGUGUCUUUCUUCCCACCUCAUCCCCCCAGAAGGAAACAAGUAAAAAUCUUCUUACAUCUGAUCCUUUCACAAGCUGAGGGAUGAGGAGAGAACUGUCUUUAAGUUCCCUUAACUUGUGGUUAUUGGUCCUUUUUUGGAAUAAACAAAGAUCGAUUUUUCAAAUUACCGUCAAAUUUUCAGUGCUGCUGGUAGUUACCUGUUAACCAUUCUGUUGGUAGGCUGAGAUAUGGGUAAAUAAUAUGAGCCAAGAUGCAGAUGAUGGAACAACAUAUGCUGAUAUAGAGGGUCGACCUUCUAGGUCAGUACAACUAAUCACAUUAAACCGUUGACUAUUUUAACUUCUACAUGUUUAUAUAAUGUACUUGUUUGCUUGCUAUGAUAACUAUUUUUACAACAUGUUUUACCAUGACAAAUGUUUCUAGGCUUGGGCUAGGUGCAAAAAUUUCACGCCAAUCCAAAGUUGGGCCUUCAGAUGACCCAGUUGACAGGAAAUUGUAUGCCAAAUUGGGUGCUGAAAAAAGAAAAAGGGCCAAGAUUGCUGAAGAGUCCACCACAGUUGCAAGAGAUGAUUUAGAUGACAGUGAGGACGAUGAACAGGAAGAAAGUAGGACUAGUGCAUUUUCCAAGAGGAAGACGGUUCCUUUGAGAUCGCCUAUAUUGGGAAAUAAGAAACAGAAGUAGAAUUACGAAUGUGAGUUUCUGAAUUCUGAUUAUAUAUUUUGCAUUUUCCUUGCUGGAAUGGUGACUUCAAACAAAUGUAAUACAUUUUCUUAAAAUUCUUAACAGGCCUUUAAUGGAAUGUAGUUGUUUACUUGAGGACUAUGGCCAAAAGUAACUAAUUUAUAUUCUGCCCUUGCUAUAUCUAGCUUACAUUAAUUACUUAAUGUGGGUUAACCCGACUAUCUACAUUAUGGAUAUCUUUCCAACUUCCCUCUCCAGGUCUUAAGGGCCCAUAUUUUAACAUGAAAAUAAAGUAACAAUGUUCAUAGGGAAAUAGUAUGCAGUUUGGCAUAUAUGUUCUUAUUUGCAAGUUGUAACUGAUACUGAUGUCAAUGGAAAAAUGGGUGCCUCUUGUUGGGGGACAUGCAUUGCUGGUUUCUUGUAUGCCUCAAAUUGUCUGGUUUACAGUGUGCUAUUUAAAUUGGUGGCAUGUUGAUAAGAACAGGAUUCUUUUGGUAGAGCUCAUACUGUAUAUUUAUUCCAUUACACAAAACAAACAUGCUCUUAAGUCUAUGUGUAAUGGAACCAAUAUACAAUAGGAGCUCAUGGUUGCUUAUUUGUGGAAUUGUGGUAGUGGAUGAAUAAGGCUAUUUUUUUUUAAGACUUCAGCAAACCAUUUCAAGUUUUCAAUCAGCUAAGUUAGUUCUGGAUCAUGCUACUAAUAUUUUUAAUGCAUGGAAGCCUCUAAAUUUGUUUGAAGGGGAUAAAGCAGCUGGUGGUUGAAUAUGUUAAAUGGGAUUUUCCUUCUGGUUAGUAUAAACUAAAUACAGAUAGUGAGUGGCUUUUGAAGGUAAUUUAGGUGAUGUUGGUUGUGGCUUGUGAGGGGCUCAUUAGACUUGAUAAUGGUAAUUGAGUUCAGGGCUUUAGAUUCCAUACUGAUGUCUAUUCAGCCUUGGAUAUCUUAGUCAAAAAAUAAGGAAUGGUCUAUUUAGAGAGGGAACAUAUAUGUUGUCUCACAAAAGUGUGUCACUCCAUGUGCCACUGCUUGUGUUUGGUUGAAUAAAAUAUAUUUAUGUUAAAAACCAAUCACAAGCAAUGACACAUGAAGUGAUACACAUUCUGGGACAGAAGAUGUUUACCCAUUUAGAGAAGGGAAUAAAUGUGUGGAAUGGCAAGCUAAAUGGAGCUUGACAAAAGAGAUUGGAGAUCAUGCUGUGUUGAUUCGUUGGGGCUUCCAUAUCUGGGCAGUUUUUUCAAUUUUAUUAAGAUUUAAGACUGCUUACAUAUAUUUUCCAAAAUUUCAUUAGGUAGGUGCCUCGUGCACUCUGUCACCGCUAUUCUCUUUUUGUUGACUGUUAGCUCCUUGCAUUCAUGAAAAAAGAACAUUUUGUAUGGUUGAGUAUUUUACUGAGGGUUAGACUUUUUCUCGGGAGAUUAAUUAUAAACACAAUUUUUAGCGUGGAAUACAUGAAUUGAGAUUUGAACUUGGGUCUUCAAUUUUUGUGUGGAAAGGCAUUUAGUGUGUUUGCUUCUUGUUUUUAGCAUUGGUCAAAUGCGCGUUUCCAGAAGCUAACUAAAUGCAGCUUUCAAGUUUUCCACUGUCAACUCGAACUUAUUAGCAUUGUCAAAUGUAAAUCCAAUCACGCAGUUAGACUAUUUGUGUUGUGUUUAAUGUGCAUUCAUUUGUACAGCGGUUUUUUGCAAUUACACAUGUAAUGCUUUGGUCUAUGUACUCAUACUAUGUAUACCCUAGAGGGUAGAAACAAUAGAAAGAAGAGACAAAAGAUAUGAAGAGAAAUUAGUAAUCUUAUCAAAUAGUUCUAACUAGAUUGAUUAGCUUAUUAACUUUCUACUUUUAACUCUUCCACUAAUAAGAUUUCAUGUGUCUUGCGAGCUUCUAGUACUAAUCUGUAUUUCAUAAGGCCAUUAGGUCUGGCUAGUCAAUUUGUUUAUUUGACUAAAUAUAAGCUACUUGAAUAUGUAUGGUGUUAGAGUUUAUAUUAAGAGUGUAAGCGGUUAUAGUUUUAACCGCGAAAUGAGUGGAAACGAACCAAACCAAUCAUAAAAUGUGGCUCGGUUUGGUUUCGCGGUUCGGUUACUUUUUAAGGAACUAUUUAUAUUCGGUUCAUUUCAUGGUUUUAGAAAUUUAGGAAUGAUUGGAAUCAAACCAAACUGCAUACUAAAGAAAUAUAGAUGUUUGAGAAUAAUGUUGUGUUUUGUUUGAAUUCUUCAACUAAUUUUGUGGCUUAAAUAAUCUUGUGUGAAUUGUAAUGUUAUAUAUGUUACUAAAUUGUUAUUAUGUUAGUGUUAUUUGUGUUAUUACUUACUAAAUUGUNUAUAAUAAUUUCCCUAUUGAUUUGUAACAUAUAUUUUAACUGGUGGCAUUGAAAUUAAGAGUAACUAUAGUAAAAUAGUUAUAUAUUUAUUAAUUGUAAUGUUAUAUAUAUAUAUAUAUAUUAUUAAUUGUUAUAUAUGUUACUAAAUUAUUAGUUACGUUGUUAAUUGAGAAUUGCAUUGUUUUAUAUAUUAUUAAUUGCAAAUUAUAUUAUUUCACUUUUUUCUUCCUAAAUUACAUAAUUAUUAUUAUGUCACUAAUGAGCAAUUACAAAUUUCAAUUCUUUUAUUUAUAAUAUUAGUAUUUUUUGUUUUAUAGACGAACAAUGAAUUUUGUAAUAUAUUUUGAACUUUCAAUUGAUGCAAAAAAAACAAAAAAAACCAUGAAAAUCGUGGAACCGAACCAAACCAUUCAAGAACGGUUCAGUUUGGUUCUUGCAAUAAUAUUUGUUGUUAAUUGAAAUAAACUGAACCAUGUCUUUGUGUUCGAUUUGGUCAUUGAAUUGCACCAAAAACUGAAAUUUUUUAAGAGAACAAAUGUGUUGCGUUUCAUAAGUUAUGUGAAAUGAUGAAUGAUUUAUUUACACUAAGUUUAUUUCAUUUUGUACAUAUUAACUAGAUUCUUAAUUAAUCUUACCAAAAUAGUCUAUUUCAAUCAACUAACUUAUCAAAACUUAGUACUUCACUCUUUUAUAAGCUUCCGGCCAGUGUUAUUAGUGGGAUACUAGUUACAAACUAGUCAAAGAACUGAUAUAUGGCGUUAUAUUAAUUUAACAAAGUGAUUCAUUAAUUAAAUUAUACAAUUAUAUAUAUAUAAUAAAUUUAUAAAUAUAAGUAUUAUUAUUAAUAUAGGGUGAAUUUUGUGUAAUGAAAAGUUGUUGUUUAGUCAUCAUGAGAUCAUAAAUUCAAAUAUUAAAAAUAGUCUCUUAGCUUGCAAGAUAAGAUUGUAUAUAUAUACUUUCUUCGUAGGGCCUUCUGUAUUAAAUCACAUUUUUAAAUAUUAUUAUAAGAAAAAUGUACACACUAACAUAUAAGAAUUGUAUGCACUCUCAGUGUAUUAUUUAUCAUUUAUAUUUAAUUAUUAUUGAUUUUACAUAAAAUAUAAAAAGUAAUACAAAUCAAUAAUAAAUAAUGUAUGAACUGUGUAUAUACCUUUACACUAACAGAACAUAUAUAUUACAUUCUAUUAUUAUUAGCAAUAUAAAACCCAAUUAUUGUAAAAUACAAUGACCGAUCAUAUUACAAAUAACAAAAAAGUUCAAUGUUUGUUUCAUGAGCAAUUCUGCUGGACCACAAAGUGUACCACUUUAUGCGUCACUACUUGUGAUUGGUAGAUAAAAUAUAUUUAAAUUAAAAUUUUAAUAGUUAAUUAUUUUUUUGAUCAAUCACAAGCAAUGACACGUGGAGUAACACACUGUUUUGGGACAGCAAAUGUCCACCUGUUUGUAUCCGUGAUGUUUUGUUUUAAAAAUAUGAAUUUUUUUCUUCCACAAACUAAUUUUGACUAGUAUGGUACAUGCAUUUAGCUUAUAUUUUAUGGUUUUGAUAAGUUUAAUUGAAUAUGUAGUAUAAUUAUUAUAUUAGAUACAUGUAUAAGAGUCGUUUCAACAAUUUUCACUUAAAUUAUCUCAUACGUGACUGAUAAUCACAUUUAAGUUGUAAAUUACUAUGAUAUUCCCUGAAUUUUAGUGAAAUUACAUAAAUUAUAACUCAUUUUUUAUAUCUACAAAAACCUAUGAUUUUUUAUAAUACGUUACACUGACCAACCUUAUAUGAGAAAUGAAUAUAAUUUUUAAACAAAAAGAUGAUAAGUGUAAUUAAGUUAAACAAAGUAUAAUAUAUUGUAUAAACAAAUACAAAUAAUAUACGACUCAAUAUAUUUUCAUUAUUUUUUGUUCAUUACAAUAUUAUAUAAAAAUGAUUUAAAAAAUAUAUUCUUAGAAUUAUUAAUGUAUUAUGUAAAGAAUAAAAAAUAAUGAAAAUGUAUUGGUAUACUAUUUGAAUUUGUCUCCACAAUAUAUUAUAUUUUGUUCAACUUUAUUACACUUAUCAUCAUUUUUGUGUAAAAGAUGACACUUAUUUCACAUGCAAGAGUAGGUAGUCAGUGUAAUGUACGUAUAGAAAUAAGAGGGUUUUUGUAGGUGUAACAAAUGAAAAGUAAUUUAUGUAAUUUCAAUAAAAAUUAUAAAAUGUUGGUGUAAGUUACUUCUUUAAGCUAUAUAUGGUUAGAGUGAAAAGUGAAAGAAUGAAAGAAAAAAUAGAUUUUUUCUAUAAUUUGGUGGAAUUCAAUAGAGUGAAUAAAAAAAUGGUUGUUGUCAUGCUUUACGUUUUAUCUUCCGAUAUUAAGAGAAAAAUUCAAGUGGAGAAAAUUAACAAUGGUUUUUUUUUGUCAAUAACUCCAUAUACAUUUAAAAACUUCCUAUUUUAUAUUAGUCACACAUAUAAAUGUCACUAAUUUCGUAAACCUUAAAAAAAAAUACAUACAUAUCAAUAUCAUUAUUAAUAAUUAGAUUAUUUUCUCUUACCUUUCUUUCCAUAAAAACAACACAUCUUUUAUGCAUUUUACUCUCAACAUUUCUUUCCCUAUCUUUUAUUUUAUAAACCAAACACAAUAUUAAGCUACCCACUAACUUAUAAACAUUCAAUUUUCUUAUAAUUUUUCUGUGUCAAACAAUUCAAGCAUUGUAAGUUUUUGACUAACUUGGCAAAUAAAUUGUACUAAACAUAAUUUAAGCAUCUAACGCACUGAAAAACAACAGAUUUUAUUUCUCAAUGCUCUUUUAUCUUUCUCUUAUCUCUUUAUUAUCAUCCCUCAACUAAAAAUCUUCAUUCGAUAUAAUCAUUAUUUUACUUUUGUUUGGAAGAUUACUUUAUUUGUUUUUACUGUGUUUAAGAAAUAUUGUUAGAAGGCCAUGUGUUUGCUGUCUUUGAUUCCUUGCUGAACGGUCAAGCUUACAGUAUGGAAUUGCACUCUUCGAGAUCAAACUUUUAUCUAUUACCACGCCCACCUCUAUCAAAAUAUUAUUAUCUCUUUCGGUACUUCUGUCUCUCCUUUGGAACUUUGUUCACUGUCUAUAUUUAGAAAAAAAUGUGUACAUUUAUAUUGUAUGAGUUUUAUAUAUUGUUAUUGUAUUAUUCAUCAUUUAUAUUUAAUUAUUAUUCACUUUUCAAAAAAAUAAAUAAUAUAAAUGAAUGAUGUAUUGUUGUGUUUAAAUCUUUAUACGAAAAGUAUAUAGAUUUUACACUAUUCUAUAUUUUAAGGAAAAUAAUAUAUAUUCCAAAAUAAUAUUUAUUAAUAAUUAAUUUGUAAAUAAUAUAUGUCACUCUCUUAUGAUGUAAGAUGAUUUGUUGGAUGAUAUAUCCGUCCUCAUAUUUUAAUUAUGUGAACCCACUUCAACUUCACGAUGUUAUGCAUCCAUAACUCAAAACAAAUUAUAUAUGAAAAGGAGCAAAAUAUCCUAUAUUAUGACUUUUUAGUCUGUCGCAGUUAAUUACUUAUUCAUUAUUAUAUCUUUUAACAAUUUUUUUGGGUACAAAAGAAUUCUAUAAACAUUAAAGUAUCCUGUGUAAUAAUACUAUUUCUGAGAAAUUCCAUAUAUGAAACUUGGGCGUUAGAUUUUACUCCUCUUCGGCUCUUCACAAACUUUUUAGAAAGAAAUAUAUAACCCACAAGACAAGGGUUGCUGUCCUUCCACAGGGCGCAAGUUGCAAACUCAAUGUAAUUAUAUUUGUCUAUCAUGUACAGUAACUAUGCAAUUUUCUUUUGCAGGCCCUUUUAUAUUUAGACAAAUUAUAAAGUUAAUACGGUUCUCCUGAUUGAAUAUGAAUCAUUAAAACAAUUUUUUUGUGCUAUACCAUAUGUCACAUUGACACUUAUGUGGAUCACCAUGUCCAUGUGAUACUUAUAUAUUAAGUGAUUAUUAUUUCAUCAUAAUAUAUAUGCACUAAUAGUAAUUUUUUUUAUAAUCUAUCAAUUAUCUAUGAUUUAUGUUUUAAUCAUUAUUGACUCUUAAAUAAAAGUUAAUAUAAAUAAAUGUUGGAUGAUAGAUUGAUUUGUGUAAAAAACUAAAAAUUCAUAUACCAAAAGUGUGUAUAUAUAUUAAUAUUUUAUCAUUUUUCAUAAUUUUUUUUGCAUGAAUGGAAGUCUAAAAUGAAUCUAUCUGUUGUUAAAAGAUUUAAAAAAAAGCUAUGCCGACCAAAAUUAUUACUGAGUGAAGUUGCACAUUAGGUCGCUUUUUAAGACAAUUUCAAAUAUUACUAAAAUUGUGCAAGUAGAUAAUUAAUCAUGUUAUCAAUAGAAUAAAAUAGUCUAAUCCUGUUGGGGAAAAUGAAGAAGAAUGAAUAUGCAGAAGGUGAGAGUGAAUGAAUGAUAGAGGAGAGGAAUGAAUCACAAUGUAUAUUACUUACCUUGAGUGUUAGAGAGUACAUACUAUUUAUAGAAACCAGUUAGUAACAGAAAAAAACUAACUUUCUGUUUAUAGUAAGAAUUACAAAAAUGCUUAACACUCCCCCUUAAUUCAUAUCUAUUACAAGCACACAACAUUCAGUAACUUCCUAAGCUCUCUAAACCUCUCUGUUUUCAAGGACUUAGUCAUUAUGUCUGCAAUUUGCAAUUCAGUUUUGCAAUGCUUCAAGCCAAUCUUCCCCUUUUCCACUUGAUCCCUUAGAAAGUGAUACUUCCUCUCAAUGUGUUUGCUUCUUCCGUGUGCCACUGGAUUUUUAGCAAGAUUUAUGGCAGAUUUGUUGUCUACCCUCAGCUCUAUUGCUCCUUCGAAACCAAUGCUCCAUUCAUCAAGCAAUGAAAUUAGCCACAAUGCUUGGCACGCUGCAUGACAUGCUGAUAUAUAUUCUGCUUCACAUGUUGAUAGAGCCACGACUUCUUGCUUUUUGGAGCACCAUGAGAUUGGUGAGUUACCAAGUAGGAAAACAUAUCCCAUAGUGCUUUUCCUUUCCAGCAAAUCUCCACACCAAUCCGAAUCAGAGUAUGCCAAUAUCUGUGAAUUACCCUUCUGAGAUUGGUUGGAGAGCAAUACUCCAAAGCUGCUUGUGCCUUUUAGAUACCUUAGUAUCCGUUUAGCUGCAGUUAAGUGAGAUUUCCUAGGGUUGCUCAUGAACCUGCUUAUCAAACCAACACUGUAAGUAAUUUCUGGCUUGGUGUUGCAUAUGAAUCUAAGGCAGCCAACCAUUUGCCUGAAUAGAGUGCCAUCUACUUCUGNNNNNNNNNNNNNNNNNNNNNNNNNNNNNNNNNNNNNNNNNNNNNNNNNNNNNNNNNNNNNNNNNNNNNNNNNNNNNNNNNNNNNNNNNNNNNNNNNNNNAAGUAGAUCCCAUUUGAUGAUGUAGGAGAAGAGAAGAUUUGUUGAUGAGUUGAUGAUAUGGAACAGAGGAAUGAAGAGAAGAUAGAAGAAUGAGUGAGUCCCUUUUGGAUCUUGUUAGUGCUCUUGAUACCAGUUUGUUGGGGAAAAUGAAGAAGAAUGAAUAUGCAGAAGCAGUGGCGGAUCUUGAACAAAAUUUUAGAGGGGGCAAUAAUAUUUAAUUAUAAUUAAUUAAAUAAAUAGAAAAAAUUUCAAAUUUAAAUGGCUAACGAUACCAAAAAUAAAAUAUUGUCAUUGACAUAUUAACUUAAUCUUAUUGCUCAUUAAAAGUUACACGAUAGAAAUUUUGGACAAAAUAUAUAUAUUAUCAAUGCAUACAUAAUCUCUUUCAUCAAGUGUAAAAUCAUUAUGAAGUCAUAUUAUUAUGAGCAGCCACCAACAUCUAAACAUGCAAGGGAACUUGAUUCAUUAUAUAUAAUUUUUUGAAUGACUACACAAGUUGCACUAUAUUUAUUUAUCUAGCCACAAAUUAAAGAAAUAUAUGAGCUCCCACUAGUAUUUCGAUAAAGACAUUAUUUGGGUGUAGGUAAAAAAAGUAUAUCUACUCCAGAAAAUUUGUAUUUCUAUGUGUCACAUUUUAUAAUUUGAAAGUUUAAUAAUAAAAUAUCUUUUUGGCCAAACGUACUAAGUGACACAUGAAAUAACACACAUUCUAUAAGACAACAAAUAUGUUUCAAUAGAGUAAAAAGUAAAAAAGUAUUUUAAGAAAAAAAAAAAAAUCCAGGGGGGGCAGCUGCCCCCACCUGUACCUUCCAUGCUCCGCCCAUGUGCAGAAGGUGAGAGUGAAUGAAUGAUAGAGGAGAGGAAUGAAUCACAAUGUAUAUUACUUGCCUUGAGUUUUAGAGAGUACAUACUAUUUAUAGAAACCAGUUAGUAACAGAAAAAAACUAACUUUCUGUUUAUAGUAAGAAUUACAAAAAUGCUUAACACAUAUAUCCAGUCUUUUUGGAUUUUUUCCAAUGCUUAUUCUUCCCGUUAUCUUUCUCUCUUCUCUGUCCACUCGUAACCAGUUUUAUCUGGCAAAUAUACAUUCUUUUUAUUUCUUUUUUUUUUUAUAAAUUAUAUCAUAUGAUUCUGUUUUUAUUCUUUUUUUAAUAAAUAAUAGUAAGGAGUUAAACACUACCUAUGCUUCUGUUUUGUGUUUUAAUAUAUUGAGAUUAAUGAAAACAAUAAUAAUUACCGUAGUAAAAUAAUGAAAUAACAAAUGUCCUUUUUGGUGAAAUGUAUAUUUAUACAAAUAUAUAAAUGAAAAACAUAAAAUUUCAACUUUUAUAUUUUGCUGUAAAUAUUAUUUAAUUUCUAUAUACAAAAAAACAUAAUCCUAAGUAACCACCACCAACCAUUAACAUUCAUCUCAUCUUAAAUUGAACAUUAUAAAAAGACAAAAAAAAAUUAUACAUUAUUCAAUUAUUGAAUUGAUCAUAAAUCGUACUCAAGGAUAAAUCCAAAAACAUACUGCAUGAAAGAGUAGGAUAGAUAAAGAGGUGCCAAAUAUACAUGUCUCUAAUAAAUAUUUAACAAUAGAUUAUUUUUUAUAAAAAUAUUAUUAAUAUAACAAAAUAUAUACAAAGAGAGGCCAACCACAUGACAUGGAAUUUCUUUAGCAUAUUGAGUCUUAGAUCUAUCAUGGGCACAUUUAGGAUAUUGUACUCACUAAUAGUGUUUGCCCAUUCAAAUCAUAAAAAUAGUUAAGGGAUUAUAUGACAAAGUAAAGGGGUUCGAUUCCUGUAAGUAACAUUUAUUAAGAGUAACAGUUAUAUUCCCCAAAAGAGAUUAGUUAUUUACCAAAAAGGGUAAGAGAAUCCCUUGGUAGUACCCAAAAUAAUCAAUAUUUACAAAGGUGUUCUAUGAAACCCACUCUAAUAAUCAAACAAAACUACAUUGACUUACUAAUAAUCCUCUUCAUUCCUUUCCCAUCACAAACUAUGUUUUAAAUAUACCAAUGACUAUGUAGUUACAUUAUCAUCUGCUCCAAAAGGCUCACAUCAUUAAUUUGGCUAAUUGUUCCCUUUGUUUCUGUAAUUUGUCACAUUGAAAUAUUCAGGAAGGUAUCAUUAAAUUUGCUGCUUUCAGAAUCAAUUAUUGAUGCAUGUAAAAAGAUACACAAUCCAAGAUAUAUCAAGUUCCAGAACUCAUGCUCAUAAAGAACAGUUAAGAACACUGGAAUUUACAGCAGUAACUCACAAAAACACCCUUCAGCCUUGAGAUUCAGUAUUAUUAGAGGUACAUUCUUGAGGCAACAUGGGCUUUAAGAUUUGCACAUGAUAUAUAAGUAUAGUGAAGCAAUUCACUAAAAGCAAAAUCUAAUACAUUUUAGGAAGAUAACUGCUUAACAACUUCAAUUUGCCCGGUCUCUGAGCACUUCAAGAUCCAUUUCUGUGGGAUCAGUAGCCUGGAUUUCAUAGUGAACACCAUCUAGCUGACGUAUAAACCUGUCUUUAGAUGUGGCGUAGAGCAUCUUGGCACGGAUGCGAGAUGUUGAAGGAGACCUAACCGAUAUCAUGCAGUGAAAGAAUUCUAGUUAUAUCAGUGGCAGAUUCAUAACAAAUGUAUAUAUGAAUUAAGACUACACACAAUGAUGAGUAUGAAAGCACAUUAAAAGCUACUAUAAAAAAAACUCCAACUUGUCAAUAAGGCACAGGACUGAAAAAAUGCAGCACUCACAAUCACAACAGAAAGAGGAGGAGGUCUAAUUCCAACUGAGAUAUUUAAACCUAAUACAGAAAAUGAUAAUGUGAUAGCUAAGAUACAGUUCAAACAAAAUAUAGAAAAUUAAUGGUCAAAGUAAUCCAUCAAACUAUAAGCAAAACCUUUAAAAUCAUAAAAUGGGUCAUCUAUUAUUUUCUUUCAGUUGCUUUGUACUCAAAGGUACAAAAUGCAACUAUUAGCCAAUGCCCUAGAUUAGAUUCUGCACGAGCCUCAAGUGUCAUGGACAAGGUCCAACAAACAUGAAGAUAAAGUACAAUACCAAUAGUGAGGUUUUGAAUUCUGGAGAGAAAGUAAACUAUAUCAAGGAUGUGCAAGUUUAGUUGAAGUAUAGAUGAACAAUGGACAAGACCUUCUUUCCCUUCAUGAGAUCAUCAUCUUAUCUGAAGAUACUAAAAUAAUUAUCUGCUAGUCUCUAGAAGACGAUACUUAUGGAAAUUUUGUAACUACAUAAUGCACUGGCAACAAAAUAGUAAUGUGCAAAUUGCUUAAUCUCAUCAAAAUUUGAUUUUCUUCUUUAAGAUAAGAUUUUUAACAAGAGGAUGAGCACUAGCAUAACAGUAAAGUUGUUCUCUUGUGACAUGAAGGUCACAGGUUUAAGUCAUGGAAAAAACCUUUCUACUUGCAGGAAACAAGUUUCUGGUUUCAGCCAAGGAAGCACUAGACAGUAUCCUCGUACAUUGGACUGUUUUUUUUUAGAUUUCAGCAAAAAAGGUUAGAAUCCCUGUCAGAACAAUUAAAUUCUCUAAAAUAUCAAUGUUAAAGUUAAAACUAGACAAAUUAACCACCCCAAAAAAUGGAAAAGAAAAUUACGCCUAACAGUUAGGCCAUUCAAGAAGCUUACUCAUGUAUGAUUCAAUCUAUUGAAGCAUGAAGAUGUUUGUGUUGUUUUAAUCACGUCAGAUUUUUUCAUACUAACAUAAGCAUUUGAAGACUGUAAAAUCUUAUCUGAAAUUUAAAUGCUCUGUUUGCCCUUAAAAUGUGACUGACAGAAUGCCCCGGUACAAAUUGAUUUCUGACAGCAGCAAACAGAUUAGAGAUGUGGUAAAAGGGAGAAUGGUACCAAAAAGCUACAAGUUUCUAGAUUCGCUAGAAUAUAAAGCUUAAUAAAUGAGUCAGCCUAGUGCAUGAGGCUCUCACCUAGUGGGGUAUGGGAUAGGUAGAUGCGCGCAGCCUUAACCUUGCAAGCGGAGAGGCCAAGAUUUGAACCUGUGACCUCAUCGUCAUAAGCCGCAACCUUACCAUUGUGCCAAGUUCACCCUCUAAUAGAAAGCUCAAUCAAUGUAAAAGAAAUUGCAUCUAAACAAAAACACGAAAUUCAGCCCAAAAUAAUGAAACAAUAAACAUAUGGUGCCAUGAAUAGAUAACAUGCAAAAUAUACACUAAAGGCAAAAGCAAGUAGCGUCAUGGCAUGUUGAGUUAGAGAAAUUCAAGUAACGGCGUAGUGCAUAAAUCAUAUGUGCUGCAAGAUUUCCCUUAUUGCACAUCAUGGACCACAUUUUACAAACAUCACUAUCUACUUUGUUAGUCAGAGCAACAAUGCUGCUCUUGAAGACAAAUACACAUGAAUAUUAAAGAAAGAGGUGGAAUAAACUAACCAUGCAAUGAAAAAGAUUUUACUCUUUUGACAGUUCUCAGAAGUGACAAAAUCAAAGUCGAAGACAGCAUAUCUGCAAUCGUUCUGAGGCAAAGAUGCAGCAAAAUCAUCAUAGCUCUCAGAUGGAACACCGGUCUUCUCAACCACAACCUCCCUUUUACUUUCAUCAAUCUUAAAGAUCACAUAUCGAUAAACCUUCUUUAGUUUCAAGUCCAUGAAUGUAUUUUGGCUGUGAUCAGCAACACCCAUUCCUGAUGAAGCAUUUGGCUGCAAACCAAAUGUAGCUGGGUCAACAAAGUGAUUUUUAAACAAAGAAAUCUCUAGUGCCUGUCAUUGAGAGAAAUUCUUGGUCUCUUGGGAUGAAAUUUCCUAACUUUUUACACCGGAAAAUCAUUUUCCUAAAUAGUGUAAAGUGAUGUUAAUAAGGGCACUAUUAGUUUCAGGAGAAAUUAGACUAACCUCUGUCAAAAUUUAACUUAAUUACAUCAAGCUGCAGUUUUUAUAUGAAAAUUUACUCCGAUCCACACUUGAGUUUAUAUUAUUACAUUUACAAAGUUGAGAUUUAUGCUAUCAUUACAUUUACACCCCCUUCAGCCUAAUAUCAAGUGAGAUCAGUAUAAUUAUGAAACCACAUAUAGGUACAAAAAACAACAACUUAUCCUUGAUCCCAAUAAGUGGAAGUUGGCUACAUGGAUCGAACUACCCGAUAAUGCUAAUCAUUUUCAUUUAUCUCUAAUUUUUUACUAAUGAUUUCACCUACAUUUUUUCUUGACCUCCCUCUUCCGAUAGAAAUUGGACAAACCUUCCUGUUUGAUCUAUUCUUCUUAACGAGACUUCCAAAAGUCCCCUCCACACGUAUUUCCAAAACACGGAAGAAGCGACUCUACCUUCUUUUCUACACCGAUUACAAAUAUAUAACUACAGACAUGACAAAAAUAUAACCUCGAGUGAAAUCAGUAGCAAUUUGUAAAGCUAAGGUUUAAAUGAUGGAGCAUAGAAACCAAAAGCACCACAUCUGAAAAAUAUGAUUCACCAAUCAUGACCCAGAAAAAUAUGGGAUUGGAAAGUAAAAUGGUGAUUCAAAGUUGAAAGCUUUUAUUUGUCUGGAAUAAAAAGAAAUUAGAGGAAUUUGAUUAAAGUAAGUGGGAAGUAGCAGAAGAUGAGAUUUGAAGUUGAUAAUCUUACACGGUUGAGCCAUCGGAAAGACAUGACAGGCAGAGACUACAGUAGAAAAGAGACAGAGAGAGGCGGCGAACAGUUGGUAACUUCGAUUUACUCAAAGAGGCAAAGCAAGAACUUUCGAUUCAACUAUAUAUAUAUAUAGUAAAUUAGAGUGACACUUUGGUGAAAUUAUUCACUCCAUUUUUUUUAUAAAUAUUGAUUACGUGCAUGAGGAAUAAACAUGAUCUAUAAAAUAAAAAAGAUGAUAAAGUGUAAUUAAGUUAAACAAAAUAUUAUAUAUUGUAGAGAAAAAUUCAAAUAAUAUAUAAUUCAAAACAUUUCCAUUAUUUUUUGUUUAUUAUAAGAUGCAUUAAUAAUUAUAAGAUAUAUUGUUUACAUCACUCUUAUAUUGUAUUGUAAUGAACAACAAAUAAUGAAAAUAUACUCACAUACUAUUUAUACUUCUAUCUAUAAUAUAUUAUAUUUUGUUUAACUUAAUUACACUUAUUACCUUUUUUUAUUUAAAAAUCAUACUCAUUUCUCACAGAUGAGUAGUUAGUGUUAUGUAUAUAUAAAAAUUAGAGGUUUUUUGUUUGUGUAAAAAAUAGAAGGAUAAUUUAGUGUUUAAGAUGUUCUUUAGAAUUGAGCAGGGAUGGUCAGUAUCGAACGUCAGUAGAAUGGAGAUGAUCAGAAGUCUUGGUCGGAAUAUUGUCUAGACUCGUCGGGGGAGGUACCUGAAAAGGUUCUCCGACGAUCAAGUCAAUAUAGAGUCUUAGAGAGUGAAUGAGAAUAAGAGAGAAGUUAGAACAAUAGCAAUAAGUGCAAGCAAUAAAUGAGAAUUAAUUAUACUUUUUAUGUGGAAUCCUCUAUUUAUAGGGUUUUGGGGCUGCUGAUAUGAAAUCUGGCCAUUGGUUAGUACAUGGUAGGUAAAAUGGAAUGUGCAAGUGGCGUGGCAGGUGGAAUGUCAGUUUGCAUUAAAGGUGAGCCAGUGGCGCAUUGAAGAUGAAGUUAGAGAUGCAUUAAAUAAUAGACUAGAAGCAUUAAUGGCACGUCAUAAGCAUUUAUGACACUUAUAGUGGGUAUUACCUACCUUAAGCGGGUGAGAGAGGUAUACAUAGCUUAGGUCAAAUGUCUGGGGUGGGUUAGAAACAACUUAGAUUUAUCCAGGGUGGAACAGUUGCUUCCAGUCUAUCAGGUCCGGCAGAAGUGGUCGGGCUGGUAGACUCAGGAUGUUCCGAUCUGGUGAUUUUGGGUAGCAUCUAGGUGUAGGGGUAGGUCAUGUCGAGCUCGCUUGAUACAUGAAUCCGGUUGUCAGUCCUUUAUCUUUUUCAAAGCUUCUAAUUCUCAGUAACUCGGUAAUUCCUUUCUCUCUUUUCCUUUUAGGCAUAAGUUUUUCCUGUUAUACUAAUGUUGAGCGGAGACUCUAGCCUUGACAAGGUGGAGAUCUUGUCCAGACCUGCACCUGUUUUUAUUAACGUCGCCCCUUGUCGCAGUCAACAAGCUCAGCUUGCUUCCAUUCUGGGUAGUAGUUGGUCCCUAUGGAGGCGACCGAAGCAAUUAUCCCUGCCGGCCUUAUUACGUAAUCUGAGAAAGAAGAAGGCCGAAAGUGAGGUAACCCUGAUGGACUAGGCAGCUCUCUUAGAGAAGUAGCAUCUGGUCUUGAAUAAUAUGUCCAGUUUGGAGUCUAACACUUCUUCUAAUGACAUGUAUAUUAUUGGGGGCUCUCAAAGUUAUGGAGCGGUCUUGUAUCCUUCGCUUGUUUUUCUAGAUGUUCCGAGUGACCCAUAGCACGAACAAAGACCAAGCUAGGGCUGGGCGCCAAGGGUGGACAACUCUUCAAUCUCGGAAUGGUCGCGCUCUUUCCCUUCCCUUCGAAGGGUCAGUAAAGAAUUGGAAGGGUGGCUUCUUCAGCGUGGAAGCUCGAGGGACACGCCAUACUUGGGCGUAUGGUCCCGACUACCUCCCCUCUUCCCCUUUUCUUGGAAUGGGGAAAUCCAUCAAAAGUCCACCGACUCCUUCGCUUUCGCAUAUGAACAGUUGGACGAUCGAGAGAAAUGGCGGAACAAGGACAAGUCGCCUGCCAUUCCACCUACCACGCCGCCUGCACAUUCCACCUGCCCCCGACAAGUCAACAAGCGCAGACCUGAAGGAGGAACAAAGACAACCCGACAUAUCCCCAUUGUACCUACCAUGUACUAACCAAUGGCCAGAUGUCAUAUCAGCAGCCCCAAAAUCUUAUAAAUAGAUGAUUCCACACAUGGAGUAUAAUUAUUUUCAUUCCUUCAUUUAUUGCUUGCACUUAUUGUUAUUGCUCUAACUUCUCUCAUAUUUACUCCCAUUCCCUCUUUAAGACUCUAUACUGACUUGAUCAUCGGAGAAUAUUUUCAGGUAACUCCCCCGGCGGAUCCAAACAACAUUCCGACUAAGACUUAUGAUCAUCUCCAUUCUAUCGGGCGUUUGAUACCGACCAUCCCCAUUCAAUACUAAAGAACAUUAGUGUUUAAGAUUAUGAGUGUCUUAACGUCAUGGAUUUUCCAUUUUAUAUACUCCUUUAUUUUAAUAUUGAUAAAUUCUCAAAAUACAACGAUAAAUUUUUUCAAACAAAUAAAAUAAUACUUUUUGAAUAAUCAUCCAUCAUUUUUUAUAUUUUUUUUUGUUCAUUUUAGUUUUCCAUUUCAUCCCCUAAUUAAAUUGUUUUGUUAAGUUUAUUUUGUUCAUUUUAGUUUUCCAUGUCAUCUCCUAAUUGUUUUAUAUUAAAUUAAGUUUAUUUUGAUUUAACCAUGUGCAACCAAAAUUUUAACAUAGCUAAGAAGGACUAUGUGCAAGAGGAAGAGAGAGUGCAGAGAGAUAAGACUGAAAGUACUCACUUAGUUAUGACCUCUCAAAAUAAGAAAAGAAAGAACAAUAAGGAUGUUGCGAAAGGGCUAUUUGUGUUUUCCUCAGAGAAUGUGGAAUUGUUCUACAAUACAUUAUUCCAUGCAAACCUAGCAUGAAGGGUGUUGUUGAGUGAUUAAACUGAACUCUUAAGGAUAUAGUGAGAAGUAUGAUUAGUCAUUCUUCCUUGGUAGAGUCUAUUUGGGGGAAAGCUUUAAAGACUGUAGUUUACAUCCUUAAUAGCAUGCCAAGUAAAGCAGUUAACAAAACCUCAUAUGAUUUUUGGACUGAUAAAAGACCAAGCUUAAAACACUUGCAUUUUGGGUUGUCCAGCUGAGGCACGACCUUAUAGGCUGCAUGAAAGAAAAGUGGACUAAAGAAUAGUUAGCGGUUAUUUUGUUUGCUAUGCUGAACACUCUCGAGACUAUAAAUUUUAUGAUCCCACUUCACGACUUUUUUUAGACGAGAAAUGCAAGAUUUCUUGAGGAAGUUGAAUUUGGGAGGAAGAGAACAUAAAGAAUGUUGUCUUUGAGAAAAAACCUACCACUAAUGGUGAGCAAGUUCUUGUGCCUAUUACCAUUCAAGGAACAACUUCGGUAAUAGAAGAUAAUAUUCAGAAUAUUGUUCCUAAAAAUAUUCUUGAACAAGACAACAAUGAGGUUCUCCCUCAAUUACCUAUAGAAAAUAUUCAAGAACCUCAAGAAGUAAAAAUGUCAUCAAGUAGAUCCACUAGAAAGGAGAAGUGCAAUUCCUGAUGAUUAUAUUGUAUUUCUUUAAGAACAUGAGGAUGACAUUGGGUUAACAUAAGAUGAUCUAUUGAACUUCUAUCAAGCCAUGAAAAGUUAUAAUUCUCAAAAGUGGAUCGAUGCCAUGAAGGAUGAGAUGAAGUCUAUGCAUAAUAAUGACAUUUAGGAUCUUGUCGAAUUACCUAAAGGUGCGAAACCUGUUGGUUGCAAAUAGAUAUUUAAAACGAAGAAGGAUUCGAAGAAUAAUAUUGACAGAUAUAAAGCUCGUCUUGUUGCUAAAUGCUACACUCGGGAAGAGGACAUUGAUUAUAAAGAAACUUUCACUUCAGUAACUUCGAAUGAUCCUUUUAGAAUAAUAUUGGAACUAGUAGCUCAUUUUGAUUUAGAGCUAUAUCAUAUGGAUGUUAAGACUACGUUUCUAAAUGGUGACAUUAAAGAAACGACCUAUAUGGCGCAACUAGGAAAAUUUGUGUUAGUUGGCUCAAAGUCUAUGGUAUGCAAAUUAAAGAAAUUCAUCUAUGGCCUUAAAUAAGCUUUCCAUCAAUGGAAUCACAAUAUUCAUCAAGCUAUUACCUCGUAUAGUUUUGAGGCAAAUAAAGUUGAUAGUUGCAUGUACCAAAGGUUCAGUGAGAGUAAAUUUAUAAUCUUGAUAUUAUAUGUCAAUGAUAUACUGCUUGUUAGCAGUGAUAUGAGACUAUUGCAUGAGACCAAGAGAUUUCUAACGAAGAAUUUCGAAAUGAAAGAUCUUGGAAAAAUUUCUUUUGUAUUAGGUAUUCACAUACUGAGAGAUCACUCUCAAGGUAUCCUAAGGUUGUUACAAUAAAGCUGUAUAGAUAAAGUCCUAGAUAGAUUUGGCAUGAAAUACAGCAAACCAGUGGAUACCCCUAUAGCUAAGAAAGACAAGUUUAGUCUUAAACAGUGUCCCAAAAAUGACCUUGAAAGAUCCGAUAUGCAAAAGAUUUUUCAUGCAUAUGUAGUAGGAAGUCUAAUGUAUGUUCAAGUUUGUACACGUCCCGACAUAACGUUUGUCGUGGGAGUUUUGAAAGUUAUUUGAGCAAUUUUAUAAUGCAUCAGUGGAAGACAAUCAAACAUGUUAUGCGCUACUUAAAGAAAACAAAUGAUUACAUGUUCAGUUAUUAAAUGUAUGAGAAUUUAGAGAUCAUUGGGUAUUUUGACUCCGAUUUUUGGGUGUCUAGACAAUAGACACUCCACCUCUGGAUAUGUGUUUAUCUUGGUUGAAGGUGCUAUAUCUUGGAAGUCUUCUAAAUAGACGCUCAUAGCUCCUUUAAUCAUGGUUGCGGAUUUCAUGGUUUGUUUUGAAACAUCAGACCAUUGCAUAUGGUUGCGGAAAUUUUGUCACUGGUUUACGUGUGGUUGAUGGUACUAAAAGACCACUGAGAAUUUGUUGUGAUAGUAAGUUUGCGGUUCUUUACUCCAACAAUAAUAUGAGUUCUAUAAAGUCAAAAUUUAUUGAUAUCAAGUUUUUGGUUGUUAAAGAAAGUGUUCAAAAUUGACAAAAUUCCAUAUAACAUAUAGGGACAAAUUUAUGCUAGUUGAUCCAUUGACUAAAGGCUUGGUAUCUAAAGUCUUUCAUCAGCAUAUUUCUCAUAUGAGUAUUGCUCCUUAUGAUACUUUGGUUCAAUGUGAGUCUAUAUGUUUUAUGACUUAUUUUGGACGUUAUAUAUAGUUUUAUGCAUAAUAAAGUCAAUGGUUUAUUGUUCUAUUUUGAAGUUAUAUAUUGUAAUUAUUGUGUUGCAAUUAAGGACUUUGGAUUGAUCUUACUAAAUAAUAAAGAAGGACCAGUUGGAAAUAGAUAUGUUUGAGAUCACAUUGCAUGAAAUUUCCAUGUCACUCAUCCAUAUUUGAUUUUUAUCAUUAGUAUAUUAAUAUGAUAUUCAUCGUGGUCGAGUCACGUUUGAAUGUGAUGAAGGUCGCUGUGGUUCUAUAGUUGAUAUAUGAGAUGAACCAGAUUGUAUUAAGGAGAAGUCUAAAUAUAAAUAGCAUACGGAUGUGCGCAUAAAGAAUAUGUGGUAUAAUUGUUUCAUAAAAAAUAUGAAGCUCAAGUGGAAGAUUAUUAGAAGUUUAUAAUUUCUAAUUAAGGUGGACAUCAUAUAUUUAAUACAAUUAUAUCGACUAUUUAUUUCGGGGUUGCAAAUCAAGUGAUCUAAUUAAUGACAACCUAAAAGACUUCUGAAACUUAUAACGAAUAUAAGUUUAAUGAGUGGAUACCCAAACAGUUGGCCUAUAAGAGAUAAUGGGAACCCUAUAAGUUAACACACAAGGAGCGGUUAUGGUCCCUAAGAUACCAAAUCACAAAUAGUUUUCACAUAUCUCCAUCAGAGAGAAAAUGAAGGUCCCAAAAGGAAUUAAUGAUUUGGUUCAGGAAGAUCAUCAUACCAAAACUCUCUCAAAAGAUAUAUCAAAUGAGUAGAUCGGAGAAUAUGGAUUCAAGGAUUCAGAUAUCAUUUUGUAUCCUUGUUUUAUAUAAUGUGUGAGAAUCAUGAGAUUUAAGAUCAUAUGAUUGAUAUUUCAGCAAUCGUUAGUAAAUAUCUAACAUUUUUUUGCUCCCGAAGAAGUCUCAAAUAUUACCCUAAAGAAUAUCUUGUAAAUGGAGAUGAUAGGGGUGUCAGGAGAUCCAACCAACAUAGUAAUGAUAGUGCGAUUGAGAUAAGAUUUGGUGAUUUAGAGGAGGAGACCAAUGUUGAAGACAAGUACUCUUUCAAUUUGGAUGCAAGGAUUGUUCAUGAAAAAACCAGAGAGGAAUGCCAUGUUGUCAUGUCCUUAUUUCUAUUUAUGUAUUUGUUUAAUGUCUAGUUCAAUUGAAAGGUGUCAAGAAAAGUCUUAAAACAAACCUAAUUCAGUGAAAUAUAAUUGAUUAAAGACAGUAAAAAAACAUGAUUUUUUUUGGACAAAUAAUUUUAUGCUAGGAAGACCUAAGAAGAGAAGGAUCAAAGCAUUAAAUUCAUGAGUUGUAUAAACUUUUUUGGUACUACUAAAUAUAUUUUUUACUGUAUGAUUAAGAAAUUAAUCUCUUAUAGGGUGUGUGGUUGUCACUUCUAAUAAAUGCUGCUAUUGAACCCUUAACAUUUUGGUCUUUCUGAGAAUUUAACGAGAUCUUAUAUCACUAGACCAAUGUAUAAUUGGUAUGAGUCAUAUAAACUACAAACCUUUUAAAAAUAGUAAUUUUUUUAUUUUCUAUUAUUAGUAAAUCAAAUCAUACUUGGUGAUAAUCGCCUAUCAGUUUUCAAAAUUGUGUAGUGUUUAAAAUUAUCUAAAAAAUAAUAUGAGCGAGAUAUUAAAUAAAAGAGAGUGAAUCCACUUAUUUUAGGAGUAGGUUCAAAAUACAUACUAUAUAUAUUUAGUAUAUGAAAAUUUAAUGGGUCAUAUGAACUAUGUUUUUUAACUUACUCGUGGAGUAAUGAAUUCCCUCUUCUUUUAGUACUACCAAAAGUAUCAAUUCGCCAUUUUCUUCUCUAAAUGAAAUAUAACAUUUUCUUAUAUAUAAAAUUAUGAAUUAUAUAAUAAAAAUACUCAUCUUUAACUUAAUUUUAUACAUAUAAAAUCUCAACUAAAAGAAGAUAAUAGUAAACUUAGUCCUCUAAAGAUUACAUUGGCAUUAACUUAGGUUGCCUUUAGUUGGGGAGAGUAUGUAGAGAAAGAAAGUAAAAGUGAUGGACCCAUCAACUUUUAGUUUCUUCUCUCAUGUUAGAAGAAAUGGUAAACAAAGAAAGUUUUUUUGUAUUUAUAACAAUGCAUUAGGGCAACUACAAUGAUUGUUCUUAACAUAAUAAGAAUUUGUUCCCCCAUUGUGCUAUUCUUAUUUUCUGAUUUUUAACAGUUUUUUGUUGUUCUUAGUCAAAGGAAAAUGAGGAAAGAGGUAGAUUUUCUAGAAAAAAUAGAUAUUGUGGGACCCAAAUAAAAAUGAAAUUUUUGUUAUCUAUUGGAGAUGUUCUUAGCUUUAUCAAAUCAUCAUUGUUAUUUAAAAGGGUAAAAUUAUCUUUUUAGCAAAAACACAUUUUCUCCCCUUCUAAUUCUUUCAUAUCAAAGAACUCUUACAAUCAACUCAUUUUUUCUUUCUCUCUAGUCAUACUCUUUCUUUUUAUCUUCUCUCCACUCAUACUCAUCCUAUUUUCUUCUGAAAAAAUGUUACUAAACUAUUCCCUUAAAUAUUAUAUUUUUCACCAAGUUAGUGAUUGAAAGAAAUUGUAAUCAUAUUAAGCCAUAUCUUAUCACAUUAGUUUCUUAAAGAACAUAUAUGUUGGUGGUACCGAAUAAGAUGAGAAAUUGUACAAAUAUUAAUAUAUUUAUCAUAAUUGAAUAAUCUUUACUUGACUUUAACUUAACUAUGACAGUUAUCAUUUUUUUAAAAUCAUUAAUCAAUAUGCAAAGAAUUUUUAUAUAACCUAUAUUAUAAAUAUAUGGCCAAGUUCAUGACCAUCCAAAUAUGAUGUUAUAAAUAUUUUACAAAUUUAUCACUAACUUAGUUUUUCAAAGGUCGUGGUGUCAUGACAUAAUUUUCCAAUAAUUUAUUUUAUUAAACUUGUCCAUUAAAAAUUAGAUUUGGUAACACGUAACACGUUAGCCCUUUAUUAACAGAGAUAUUAACUUCAAAAAAAACCUGUCUCUGAAAAAGUAAUACUUUCAGCUUUUUGAAAUAUAGUCUUUGAAGAUUAAUCUAAUAAUUUUUUAUCCUCUUUAAUACUAGAGGUCAAAUAUUUGAAUUCGGAGCUCAAAUUAUUUUUAUGAUAUACUAGGUCAAAUAUCCGACGAAUGAUAUUACAUAUUCAAUUUUUAUAUAUUAUAUUUUUUUUGUUUAUGAUAAUGUUUAAUUUAAUGUGAGAUAUGUGAUUAAUUAAUGCAUUGGUGGUAGUUGCUUAGGAUUAUAUAGUUUUUUUUGUAAAAAUUAAAUAAUGUUAAGAGGAAUACAAAAAAUAUUACACCAUGAGGGAAGUUAUUUCAAGUUUUGGCUUUAUAUAUAUAUAUUAUAUUUCAAAUUUGCACCGUCCAUUUCCUUUGUUUUUUCAAAACACAUAUCAUAAUCUUUUCUUUUAAAUUUCCUGGAGGGUAAAAAAAGAUGUAAUGAGAUUAAUCUAAUUACAAAUUUAUUUGAGAACCAAGUUGAUGAUUCAUCUUUACAUGCGAAAUUAACCAUAUGGAUCCUCGAAAAACCAAAACUUUGGUUGAAAUGGAUAUGUUCACUUCAAAGGAAAAUAACUCCGUUUCUACACGUUCGUUUUAUAGCGUGUGUUAGGUGAAGACUGUUCUAGUUCCUUUGAGAGCCUCGAAAUCCUUUACCUUUUCAUCAAAUUUGAAUUCUUUCAAUGGAAUUGCUGGUAACUACUCUAACAACAAGCCUCUCUCUCUUUUCUUCUGUCUGUGUAUUGCAAUUUCUAAUUUUUUGCAUUGAAAAAACUUCAGGAGAAGCUGAAGAUGCAGAAGAAAAAACAACCAGACAAUAACGAAGUCGAAGGUGGUCCUGUGUUUUGGUUUGAAACCUCUGUUUCUGUUUCUCGCCGCUUUCAGUUUGAACCACAGGGCCAACUUUCUGUAUGUUCCUCUCUCUCUCUCUGUAUUGAUGUGUAAAUUAUAAUGAUAAAUGGGUAUUGGGUCUAUGUGUGAUUGAAUUGUGGAUGUAUAAUGUAGUAGUAUAAAUAGGUUUAGGGUUAAUUGUGUUUGUGAUAAGCAAAAGAAAGAAAAAGAGUAGGUAGCAGAUAGAAAAUGAUGUGUAAGAGUAAUAAGUGAUGGGCACUUUUGAUUUGAGAAGAAUAUUUGCAAGGUACCACUUUUGUACACUUUCUUUGAGGGGAAAAGUCUAGUUUCUCAAGCUAGGGAUUAACAUUUUAUGUUUUGUACCUUUGUUCAUUGUUAGUAUCAUAUUAUUAGGUAAAUGAUAGUACUUAAUAUGUUUGUAAUGAGCCAAUGACUAAUGCUAACCAUUAAAACAUUGAUUCUGUAUUUUCACUUAAUGUGAUUUUAUGUUUAUUUUAUACUAAUUUUAUAUGUUGAAGCAUAGCCGUUUUGUAAUAUAAUUUAUAUAACUGCUGUGUCAUGAUAUCCUUGCUUUAUGAAUUUGUAUCCUAUAUUCCUAUGUCAUCUACUCAUAUGUGUGCUUCCUAGAUGAGUUUCUUUGAAGUCUAGGUUUGGCCAAUCCUUUCCUUUCAUUACCCGGAAAAAAUGUAUAUUUUAUUUUUCGUUUUCUAUGCAGGUAAAGAUUGUUGAUGAUUCCAGACCAUUGCACAGCAGGGUUGUUGAGUCUUUCCUGCAUAAAUUUUUCCCUUCUGGAUAUCCAUACAGGUAGUUUGAUUUUUUAUUGAAUAUGUUGCAAGGCAUAGUUAUUAUAUCUUAGACAAGCUAGUUUAGAUUUUUAGUGUUCAAUUUGCAGUGUGAAUGAAGGCUACCUUACCUACACUAAGUUUCGAGCAAUGCAACACAUUACCAGUGCAGCACUAUCAGUGUUAUCAACUCAGGUCUUCUUCUGAUAACUUGAAAACCUCAGCAAAGCAUGUAACCAUAAAAAAGUUCACGUCUUUGAUGUUCUAAAAUAAAAUCCAUUUACCUAGCCACUGAAAGAAAAGGGUGGUCCAGUGCACGAGGCUCCCACCUAGUUGGGUCUGGAGAGGGUAGAUGUGUACAAUCUUACCCUUGCAAGCAAAGACGUUGUUUCCAGGAUUUGAACACAUAACCUCUAGGUCAUAAGGCAAGCAACCUUACUGUUGCGCCGAGGCUCACCCUCUAAAAAGGAAGCCUAGUGUUACUGAAUGUAUGAUGUUUUCCAUUUCAUAUUUGAUUUAUUCCUUAUAUAGUAUAGAAAAUAUUUCAAUGCCUCUUUGGCUGGUACAAUUCAUUUAGUGGUUGUAAUUUUUACAAAAAGAAUCUAUAUGAAACAAUUGUGUGUGAAGUCUAUGUCUUUGGUCUGUAUGCUUAUUCUUCUGCAGUCACUGUUAUUUGCUGCAGGCUUGCGUCCCACUCCUGCACAAGCAACUGCUGUUAGCUGGGUAAAUUGAUACUACAUUCCAAUUGACUAUUUCUCGGACCAGUCGUGGUGGCAUCCAUUUACGAUAUAACAUUUUUUUUCUCUUGUUGGCGUCCAGAUUUUAAAGGAUGGCAUGCAACAUUUAGGGAAUCUGAUAUGUAGUAAUUUGGGUGCAAGAAUGGAUUCAGAGCCUAAACGUUGGAGAAUUCUAGGUUUGCAAUUGAGCUGUUGCUUUUCAUUUUUUCUUGUAUUAGCUCUUAUGACACUAUCAAGGUUUUUGACUGCAAUAAUCAUUGCAUCGCGCAGCCGAUGUGCUCUAUGACGUUGGCUCUGGAUUGGAAGUGCUUUCUCCCUUAUGCCCACAUCUCUUUCUUGAAAUGGCAGGCCUAGGCAAUUUUGCUAAGGUAUAAUUUUUAUUGAAUUUCUUAAAUUAAUUUUACAUGUUGGUAUUUGUUGCUAACAUGCUAUGUAAAGUUGAUAUGAUGCUAAUUGUUGAUUCAUGCAUCUGUAUGUCAUGAUAAAGAACUUUAAUGUCAUAGUGAAAGUGACUGCUCAUUAACCUAUUGUUAUUGUUUUAAUCAGUUCAUGUUUACUCUUAGUCUGCUUAAAAUUGGUGUAAAGCCAUUUACAAAAUUUAAAUUUUAAAUAUUGAAACAAAAUAUGAAAGAGAGAGAGAAUGAAAGGCUCAGAGAGAUGUUAUGCUAUAAACGGAUGAGAGAGGCUAUAAUAGUUGGAUUAGAAAAAAUUCUAUGAAAUAGAGUUCGUAAAGAACCAGUUUCCCCCGCUUAGGCGCCUGCCCUGGGAGAUUGGUCUUUCACAUAUCGGGUGGGAGGAUACUUUGGAAAACCAAAAAAAUAAAUAAAAAGUUAGGUAGUUACGAAACACUGUUCAUUUGAAAGGUAGCUCUUGUGCUCUUACAUAUCUAGUUUUUAGAAUUCCAGACAUCCCUUUAUCUUUAUAUUAUUCUGUAAUCAACAGGGGAUGGCAGUUGUUGCAGCAAGAGCUACAAGGUUACCUAUAUAUUCUGCGUUUGCCAAAGAAGGAAAUCUCAGUGACCUAUUUGCUAAAGGGGAGGCUAUUUCGACUCUCUUCAAUGUUAUUGGAAUUGGAGUUGGAAUUCAAUUAGCAUCUACUGUAUGUUCGUCAAUGCAGGGAAAGGUAAAAUGUCUAUAUAGAUUAUCUUUGCUUGUUCUUGGGAGUUUAGUGUUCAAUAUUUUCUUCAGUUUUUGACUCACAUAAGAAUUUGCGCAAACCACCCAUGAUUGUCGCCAUUGUUUGUUACUGGAAUGGGUGAAGAUUGUUGCGCAGGUUGAGAUCAGAAAUUUGAUGUUUUCUAUUGAAUGUGGUGGCAAAGUUGUAGAUUAAAUGUAGCUUAUGAAGUCAUCCCCAAGGGUAUGGAUCAUAGAUAUUGUUUAUUGGAAAUUAGAACAAUUACUAAAAAAAUAUGAAAGCAAGUGAUUUUUUUUCUAGUUUUCUUAUAGAGAUAUAAAUAUGCUUUGUCAUAUUUUAAUGAUAAAUAUACAUUUUAUUUAUGAUUCCAAACUGAUGGAUUAUGAAAUGUUUCUUGUUAGUUGGUUGCGGGGCCUAUACUUUCAGUUCUACAUGUAUACAGCGUCAUCGAAGAAAUGAAAGCUACUCCUAUCAAUACCUUAAAUCCACAAAGAACUGCAAUGAUUGUGGCUGAUUUUCUCAAGGUCUGCUUUACAAUAUUAUCAUAAAUGAAUGUUCUCUUGUUUCCCUUUAAUUAAAAAGAAAUUGAAAUGCUGUUUGACUGAUAUUUGAAUUCCAAACCAGGCAGGAAAUGUAUCAAGCCCUGCUGAUCUCAGAUAUGGAGAAGAUUUGCUAUUUCCGGGGCGUCUCAUAGAAGAUGCCGGAAAUGUGAGAGUGGGUAGGGCUGUGCACAAGGUUAUUAAGCCUUCAAGGUUUGUUGAAUUAAAACAAAUGUUCCCCGAGGAAAAGUUUCUUUUAAAUCGAGGCGAUAAAUGCAUUGAUAUGGUACUGGCAAAAGACGCGGUCGGCGAAGAUGCAUUGAGAGGGUGGCUAGUUGCUGCAUACGCUGCACAAAUCGACAAGUCCUCUCAUGAGCUCAGUGCCAGUACCCUGCAAGAGGCCUAUGAGAGAAUGAGUGAUGUCUUCCCUGUGUUUUUAAAUGAAUUACAGAACAAAGGGUGGCAUACUGAUCGUUUUCUGGAUGGAACCGGGAGCCGCUUUUCCUUAUAGUGUUCAAAUAGAUCCUAUAUUGACCUGAGUAGGUUUUGUAACCCUUUUUGUGAUAUAGGAUGCAUUGCAGUUAAUGGUUCAGAUAAGUUGAACUUGAUCUCACUCUUUUUCUGCAUUGCUGGAUGGAAUGUUAUAGCUUUGGUUUUAUUGUUCUUCUUUCUCUUGCAAGUUGCAACAAUGUAGAAUAUAUUCAUGGUAUUCUCAGGACUUGUGUUUGACCUUGUUUUCUUCUCUUGGUGUUGUCCUUUUACUAUUAUUAAUUUGCAAUAAAGAAUGUAUGACUCUGGAAUAGUGAAAAGUGUUAUUUGCAUAAUUAAUAAACAUCAGAACUCAGAAGGCAAGUUUUGAUCACUGACAGAAUUUGAAGAUAUGGUACAAACAUUAAGACAUACCGGAAAUUCAUUUGUUUAUAGUAGAUCUUGAAACAAUGUUAAGUAAUCUAUCUUUUAUAUUUCUCAAAAUACUCUUCAGGAAUAGCUAAAACAAGAAAAUUGUUCCAAGAAAAUUCCUUCAAGCUUGUGUAUUCUGAUGAGCAAUUUUAUGGAGUUUAUAAGACUGCUCUUCCACAGUCUUGUCAUUUGAUACUUAAGGUAUCGGAUUAUAAUAUAUUUCUUCGUUCUAGCUUUCUCAAUGUUUUACUUCUUCCUGAACACAUCUCCUACCUAUUAGGAGAGUUGUUUAUAGAAUAAUAGUCAUAUAGGUCAUCUCACAACUUAUUAAAGAUGGAAUUUUUGAACAAAAAAAUCAUUCUCCAUCAAAACAGACAAAUCCUUAUUUUGUUUUUCUUUUUCCUCUUAAGUUGCAAAUCCAGUAUACUAUUAAAAGAUGUUGUCACUUAGCACAUGAUAAUACUCUAAGAAAAUUAAUCUUUCACCCCCUAAGUGGAGCUGUUUGAAAAUUAAAAAGCAUAGUUAGUUCUACAUAAAUUUUAUCUCACAUAAAAAAAAUAAAACAAAAGAUGAAAAGAUAAUAACAAAACUUCAAAAGUAACAUUUUAUCAUGGCGCAAAAGUACUAUUAUAUUAUAUGCAAACUCUGCAAUUUACAUAGAUAAGGAGGCUUGGAAGUACACAAGGCCAUAUUUUAUUACUAAACGUUACUACAAGUUCUCAACAUCCAAAACUUAUUUUAUUUUAAGAUGGCCACCUUAUUUCAACACCAUUGUUAUUUUCUUAUGCAACCUUAGGAAGGGUGUGAUCCUCAGACUCAGACUGAGGACUAACCAAAGGACCCUGGUUUCCACUGUACUUGAGCUGGCUCACCUGAUUCAGGCGAAGACCGAAAGCAUUGGCAAGAACCUCUGCAGGGAUGCCCCUAAACACUUGCUUAACUGGGCUAGUUGCAGCUAAGUCAUUUGUUUUGAAUGCUAUGAACUCAAAUCCUUCAUCCCCUGCUUGGUGUGCCACAACAAAGUUCUGUGGCACCACUAGAAGUUGUCCCCUUCUAAGGUCAUCAUUGAAAACUGAGUUGCCUUGGCAAUUCACCACUUGAACCCUUCCUCUUCCUCUAGUCACAAAGAUCACACUGUUUGCAUUGAUGUUCCAGUGUGGAGCAUAUAUACCAUUCUGCAUGCAUACACUAAUUUCAUGUUAAUAUAAAAUCAUGUUCAUAUAUAUACCAUAUUAUGAUAAGACAGAAUAAUAACAAUUGAUGUGUAUUUCAUAUUAAAACUAUUAGUGUCUAUUUUCGAGUUGGAUUAUGGAGGGGAAUGAAAAGAAAAGAAGGCUCGAGAGCCAUGAAAUACACUUUUCAUUAUUUCCCUUCCAAAACUUAACUCACAUAAGAACCCUCAUGAGAAGUUGUUGAAAUAAUAGUGGCUAAAGUUAAGGUGAUUAAUUACCCUGUAGAGGUUAACAUAGUCAGCACUAAGUUGGAACCAUCUGAGAAUUGGGAGGGUCAAGCUAUUGACACUGCUGAUGCGGCCAGCAUUUGGGUUGUAGAGAUCAGCACGCGAAGGUUUAGCAAUGUUCUCUAGAAGCCUAGCAGUGCAGAUAGUUUCCUCAAGUCCAUUUCUACUUUCUUGUCUCUUUCUCCUUCCUUGUUGUUGCUGCUGCUCUUCUUCUUCUUCCUCUCUUUGUUGUCCUGAUCUGCGUCCUCUACCUCCGUGGCGUCCUCGCCUUCCUUCUUGUUGUUCCUCUUCUUGUUCUUGUUCUUGUCCUUGUUCUUGUCCUUGUUCUUGUCCACGCCCUCUUCCUUGCUGGCGACGCACUCGAGUACUUGUUUCUUCUUCCUCCUCCUCUCCUUCUUCUCCUUGUGCACGUCUGUGUCGGGUUGUUCUCUCCCAUUCACGCUGCUGUCCUCUUCCUUCCUGCUCUGACUCUGACUCUUCUUCCUGCUCUUCUCCUUGGCGUCCUUGUUGUCUUCCCGGACGCCUUCUAGAUUGACGCUCAUAGCGUUCUCGAGAGCGAGGUUCAUCCUCUUCUUCUUCUUCCUCUUUCUCCUCUUCUCUUCUUUCCUCUCUUCGUUCAGGCUGUCCUCUCUGGCGCGGUUCUUCUUCUUCUUCUUCCUCUUCUUCUUGCGACUUGGGGCUGAUAAUGCUGAGACCUCUCUUCACUCUCACAAUUUGCUUCAAACGUUCAUCUGGGUUUUGUAGUCUGUUUAUAAUCUCCUCAUCAACGUUGAACGCUUGAGUCAAAAAUUGUGG
Molecule: long non-coding RNA, 49191 nt
Filed under: Lupinus angustifolius (narrow-leaved blue lupine)
Lineage: Eukaryota; Viridiplantae; Streptophyta; Magnoliopsida; Fabales; Fabaceae
Description: long non-coding RNA (LANG_LNC002923)
Source: RNAcentral